GGUUAGGGUUAUGGUUAGGGUUAGGGUUGGAGCUAGGGUUAGGGUUAGGGUUAGGGUUGGAGUUAGGGUUAGUGUUGGAGCUAGGGUUAGGGUUGGGCUUGGAGCUAGGAUUUUUCUGAGUGCACUGAACCAACUCCCGAGUCUCUAGGACAUUCCUAAAAAAAAUUGAUUUUUUCCCAUAGGAAUGCAUGGGUUAGGGUUAUGGUUAGGGUUAGGGUUGGAGCUAGGGUUAGGGUUAGGGUUAGGGUUGGAGUUAGGGUUAGUGUUGGAGCUAGGGUUAGGGUUGGGCUUGGAGCUAGGAUUUUUCUGAGUGCACUGAACCAACUCCUGAGUCUCUAGGACAUUCCUAAAAAAAUUUGAUUUUUUCCCAUAGGAAUGCAUGGGUUAGGGUUAUGGUUAGGGUUAGGGUUGGAGCUAGGGUUAGGGUUAGGGUUAGGGUUGGAGUUAGGGUUAGUGUUGGAGCUUUGGUUAGGGUUGGGCUUGGAGCUAGGAUUUUUCUGAGUGCACUGAACCAACUCCCGAGUCUCUAGGACAUUCCUAAAAAAAUUUGAUUUUUUCCCAUAGGAAUGCAUGGGUUAGGGUUAUGGUUAGGGUUAGGGUUGGAGCUAGGGUUAGGGUUAGGGUUAGGGUUGGAGUUAGGGUUAGUGUUGGAGCUAGGGUUAGGGUUGGGCUUGGAGCUAGGAUUUUUCUGAGUGCACUGAACCAACUCCCGAGUCUCUAGGACAUUCCUAAAAAAAUUUGAUUUUUUCCCAUAGGAAUGCAUGGGUUAGGGUUAGGGUUAGGGUUAGGGUUGGAGCUAGGGUUAGGGUUAGGGUUAGGGUUGGAGUUAGGGUUAGUGUUGGAGCUAGGGUUAGGGUUGGGCUUGGAGCUAGGAUUUUUCUGAGUGCAAUGAACCAACUCCCGAGUCUCUAGGACGUUCCUAAAAAAAUUUGAUUUUUUCCCAUAGGAAUGCAUGGGUUAGGGUUAGGGUUAGGGUUGGAGCUAGGGUUAGGGUUAGGGUUAGGGUUGGAGUUAGGGUUAGUGUUGGAGCUAGGGUUAGGGUUGGGCUUGGAGCUAGGAUUUUUCUGAGUGCACUGAACCAACUCCCGAGUCUCUAGGACAUUCCUAAAAAAAUUUGAUUUUUUCCCAUAGGAAUGCAUGGGUUAGGGUUAUGGUUAGGGUUAGGGUUGGAGCUAGGGUUAGGGUUAGGGUUAGGGUUGGAGUUAGGGUUAGUGUUGGAGCUAGGGUUAGGGUUGGGCUUGGAGCUAGGAUUUUUCUGAGUGCACUGAACCAACUCCCGAGUCUCUAGGACAUUCCUAAAAAAAUGUGAUUUUUUCCCAUAGGAAUGCAUGGGUUAGGGUUAGGGUUAGGUGUGGGGUUGGAGCUAUGGUUAGGGUUAGGGUUAGGGUUGGAGUUAGGGUUAGUGUUGGAGCUAGGGUUAGGGUUGGGCUUGGAGCUAGGAUUUUUCUGAGUGCAAUGAACCAACUCCCGAGUCUCUAGGACGUUCCUAAAAAAAUUAGAUUUUUUCCCAUAGGAAUGCAUGGGUUUGGGUUAGGGUUAGGUGUGGGGUUGGAGCUAGGGUUAGGGUUAGGGUUAGGGUCGGAGUAAGGGUUAGUGUUGGAGCUAGGGUUAGUGUUGGGCUUGGAGCUAGGAUUUUUCUGAGUGCAAUGAACCAACUCCCGAGUCUCUAGGACGUUCCUAAAAAAAUUUGAUUUUUUCCCAUAGGAAUGCAUGGGUUAGGGUUAGGGUUAGGGUUGGAGCUAGGGUUAGGGUUAGGGUUAGGGUUGGAGUUAGGGUUAGUGUUGGAGCUAGGGUUAGGUGUGGGUAAGAGAUACAGUGAUAGCCCCCGCUUUCGUCUGUUGACUUGGCGGUUUGGGGUAGGCUAAUCAAGGGCUUGCACUGGCCGUCGCAUGUCGACCUGUCACAUGUUCCCAGUCGAGUCUCCGAGCUCAAUCUGUGUGUAAAAAACUAUGUGUGGGUAGGAAGUUUAAUUACUCAGCUCAGUUGGUAUGCUAUGCUGUCUAUCUUUUAGACUAUGUGUUUGUAGAGCAAUUAUUUCUUGAGGUUCAGUUAGGAAUUAGAGUUGGUAUGGUUACCGGUUAAAACAAUAAUAAUAAUAAUAAUAAUAAUAAUAAUAAUAAUAAUAAUAAUAGUGAUAACCAUAAUAAUAAUAAUAAUAAUAAUAAUAGUAAUAAUUUUGUUUAUUGAGAAGGACUAGGUGAUAUUAGUAGGGAGGGAAAAGGGUGAAAUUUAUCUAAGGGAGUAGGGUUAGGGUGUGUUAGUACAAAGUCUCAGAGGAUGGGGAGAGGGAAACAGGUGGUCUGGAUUAAAACCAUUCUGUUUCUACAGGGAUUCGAGUGAUAGAGAGAGAAUAGAACUUGCCACAGUGACUAGCCAGAGAAACUCUCCUCACCUGUUGUUUUUCAUCCUCUGAUACGAAAAAAGAGGGUGGGGUAAUUAAGUAAAGAUAGAGGUUAGUAAGGUUAGGGUUAGGGUUCGGGUUAGGAUUCGGGUUUAGAGGUUAGGGUUAGGGUAAGGGUAAGGGUUAGGGUUAGAUUUAGGGUCUAGAGGUUAGGGUUAGGGUUAGGGUUAGAUUUAGGGUCUAGAGGUUAGGGUUAGGGUAAGGGUUAGGGCUAGGGUUAGAUUUAGGGUCUAGAGGUUAGGGUUAGGGUUAGGGUAAGGGUUAGGGUUAGAUUUAGGGUCUAGGGGUUAGGGUUAGGGUUAGGGUUAGAUUUAGGGUCUAGAGGUUAGGGUUAGGGUUAGGGUAAGGGUUAGGGUUAGAUUUAGGGUAUAGGGGUUAGGGUUAGGGCUAGGGUUAGGGUUAGUUAGGGCUAGGGUUAGGGUUAGGGUAAGGGUUAGGGUUAGAUUUAGGGUAUAGGGGUUAGGGUUAGGGCUAGGGUUAGGGUUAGGGUUAGGAUUUAGAGGUUAGGGUUAGGGUUAGGGUUAGAUCUAGGGUUUAGGGGUUAGGGUUAAAUUCAGGUUCUAGAGGUUAGGGUUAGGGUGAGGGUGAUGGUUAGGGUUAGUGCCUGAAGAGAGCUAACCAUGGCUAUUUGGAAGAAUUGAAAUUCAAAGAAUACGACACUUCAGAUUGUCUAGACUCUGGACUCUGCUAAAGGUAGCAAAGCUAUGGUUGAAAGUAUUGAAAAUGCAGUAUAAAAUAUAUAAGGUUAGUUACUAAUUGUUAUUGAUAAAUUUUUAGUUAAGAGUCAAAAGUGGAUGGUCCCGUGUAGAACCCUCUGUUCCACUCAGGCCUGUGUAGGCCAAAGACCCUGCUAAGGUCCCUCAAGGCUGUGACAAAAAAUUAUUUUAGAUUAAAUUGGAAAUAUAAAUUAUUACUUUUUAAUAAAUUUUAAUUCAGAGUCAAAAGUGGAUGGUCCCGUCUAGAACCUUCUACCACUCAGACCUGUCUAGGUCAAAGACUCUGCUAAGAUCCCUCAAGGUUGUGGACUAAAAUAAUUUUGAAUUGGAAAUAUUUAUAAAUUAUUCCUUUUAAUAAUUUUUUUAAUUAAUUUAAUUCAGAGUCAAAAGUGGAUGGUCCCGUAUAGAACCUUCUGUUCCACUCAGGCCUGUGUAGGCCAAAGACCCUGCUAAGCUUCCUCAAGGCUGUAAUCUAAAAUAAUUUUAGAUUGAAUUGGGUAUAUUUAAAAAUUAUUCCUUUUUAAUAUAUUUUUUUAUUUAUUUCAGAGUCAAAAGUGGAUGGUCCCGUGUAGAACCUUCUGUUCCACUCAGGCCUGUCUAGGCCAAAGACCCUGCUAAGCUUCCUCAAGGCUGUGAACUAAAAUAAUUUUGAAUUGGGUAUAUUUAAAAAAAUUAUUCCUUUUAAUUUAAAUUUUUAUUUCAGAGUCAAAAGUGGAUGGUCCCGUGUAGAACCUUCUGUUCCACUCAGGCCUGUCUAGGCCAAAGACCCUGCUAAGCUUCCCUUAAGGCUGUGACCUAAAAUAAUUUUUGAAUUGGAAAUAUUUAUAAAUUAUUCUUUUUAAAUAAUUUUUUAAUUCAGAGUCAAAAGUGGAUGGUCCCGUGUAGAACCUUCUGUUCCACUCAGGCCUGUGUAGGCCAAAGACCCUGCUAAGUUUCCCUUAAGGCUGUGACCUAAAAUAAUUUUUGAAUUGGAAAUAUUUAUAAAUUAUUAUUUUUAAUAAAUUUUUAAUUCAGAGUCAAAAGUGGAUGGUCCCAUGUAGAACCUUCUGUUCCACUCAGGCCUGUGUAGGCCAAAGACCCUGCUAAGCUUCCUCAAGGCUGUGAACUAAAAUAAUUUUGAAUUGGAAAUAUUUAUAAAUUAUUCCUUUUAAUAAAUUUUUUAAUUCAGAAGAAUUUUAGGUUGAAUUGGGUAUAUUAAUAAAUUAUUGGUCCCGUGUAGAACCUUCUGUUCCACUCAGGCCUGUGUAGGCCAAAGUUGGAGUUAGGGUUAGUGUUGGAGCUAGGGUUAGGGUUGGGCUUGGAGCUAGGAUUUUUCUGAGUGCAAUGACCCAACUCCCGAGUCUCUAGGACGUUCCUAAAAAAAAUUAUUUUUUCCCAUAGGAAUGCAUGGGUUAGGGUUAGGGUUAGGGUUGGAGCUAGGGUUAGGGUUAGGGUUAGGGUUGGAGUUAGGGUUAGUGUUGGAGCUAGGGUUAGGGUUGGGCUUGGAGCUAGGAUUUUUCUGAGUGCAAUGAACCAACCCCCGAGUCUCUAGGACGUUCCCCAAAAAAAUUUGAUUUUUUCCCAUAGGAAUGCAUGGGUUAGGGUUAGGGUUAGGGUUGGAGCUAGGGUUAGGGUUAGGGUUAGGGUUGGAGUUAGGGUUAGUGUUGGAGCUAGGGUUAGGGUUGGGCUUGGAGCUAGGAUUUUUCUGAGUGCAAUGAACCAACUCCCGAGUCUCUAGGACGUUCCUAAAAAAAAUUGAUUUUUUCCCAUAGGAAUGCAUGGGUUAGGGUUAUGGUUAGGGUUAGGGUUGGAGCUAGGGUUAGGGUUAGGGUUAGGGUUGGAGUUAGGGUUAGUGUUGGAGCUAGGGUUAGGGUUGGGCUUGGAGCUAGGAUUUUUCUGAGUGCAAUGAACCAACUCCCGAGUCUCUAGGACGUUCCCUAAAAAAAAUUGAUUUUUUUCCCAUAGGAAUGCAUGGGUUAGGGUUAGGGUUAGGGUUGGAGCUAGGGUUAGGGUUAGGGUUAGGGUUGGAGUUAGGGUUAGUGUUGGAGCUAGGGUUAGGGUUGGGCUUGGAGCUAGGAUUUUUCUGAGUGCAAUGAACCAACUCCCGAGUCUCUAGGACGUUCCUAAAAAAAUUUGUUUUUUUCCCAUAGGAAUACAUGGGUUAGGGUUAGGGUUAGGGUUGGAGCUAGGGUUAGGGUUAGGGUUAGGGUUAGGGUUGGAGUUAGGGUUAGUGUUGGAGCUAGGGUUAGGGUUGGGCUUGGAGCUAGGAUUUUUCUGAGUGCAUUGAACCAACUCCCGAGUCUCUAGGACAUUCCUAAAAAAAUUUGAUUUUUUCCCAUAGGAAUGCAUGGGUUAGGGUUAGGGUUAGGGUUGGAGCUAGGGUUAGGGUUAGGGUUAGGGUUGGAGUUAGGGUUAGUGUUGGAGCUAGGGUUAGGGUUGGGCUUGGAGCUAGGAUUUUUCUGAGUGCAAUGAACCAACUCCCGAGUCUCUAGGACGUUCCUAAAAAAAUUUGAUUUUUUCCCAUAGGAAUGCAUGGGUUAGGGUUAGGGUUAGGGUUGGAGCUAGGGUUAGGGUUAGGGUUAGGGUUGGAGUUAGGGUUAGUGUUGGAGCUAGGGUUAGGGUUGGGCUUGGAGCUAGGAUUUUUCUGAGUGCAAUGAACCAACUCCCGAGUCUCUAGGACGUUCCUAAAAAAAUUUGAUUUUUUCCCAUAGGAAUGCAUGGGUUAGGGUUAGGGUUAGGGUUGGAGCUAGGGUUAGGGUUAGGGUUAGGGUUGGAGUUAGGGUUAGUGUUGGAGCUAGGGUUAGGGUUGGGCUUGGAGCUAGGAUUUUUCUGAGUGCAAUGAACCAACUCCCGAGUCUCUAGGACGUUCCUAAAAAAAAUUGAUUUUUUUCCCAUAGGAAUGCAUGGGUUAGGGUUAGGGUUAGGGUUGGAGCUAGGGUUAGGGUUAGGGUUAGGGUUGGAGUUAGGGUUAGUGUUGGAGCUAGGGUUAGGGUUGGGCUUGGAGCUAGGAUUUUUCUGAGUGCAAUGAACCAACUCCCGAGUCUCUAGGACGUUCCUAAAAAAAUUUGAUUUUUUCCCAUAGGAAUGCAUGGGUUAGGGUUAUGGUUAGGGUUAGGGUUGGAGCUAGGGUUAGGGUUAGGGUUAGGGUUGGAGUUAGGGUUAGUGUUGGAGCUAGGGUUAGGGUUGGGCUUGGAGCUAGGAUUUUUCUGAGUGCAAUGAACCAACCCCGAGUCUCUAGGACGUUCCUAAAAAAUUUGAUUUUUUCCCAUAGGAAUGCAUGGGUUAGGGUUAGGGUUAGGGUUGGAGCUAGGGUUAGGGUUAGGGUUAGGGUUGGAGUUAGGGUUAGUGUUGGAGCUAGGGUUAGGGUUGGGCUUGGAGCUAGGAUUUUUCUGAGUGCAAUGAACCAACUCCCGAGUCUCUAGGACGUUCCUAAAAAAAUUUGAUUUUUUCCCAUAGGAAUGCAUGGGUUAGGGUUAGGGUUAGGGUUGGAGCUAGGGUUAGGGUUAGGGUUAGGGUUAGGGGGUUGGAGUUAGGGUUAGUGUUGGAGCUAGGGUUAGGGUUGGGCUUGGAGCUAGGAUUUUUCUGAGUGCACUGAACCAACUCCCGAGUCUCUAGGACGUUCCUAAAAAAAUUUGAUUUUUUCCCAUAGGAAUGCAUGGGUUAGGGUUAGGGUUAGGGUUGGAGCUAGGGUUAGGGUUAGGGUUAGGGUUGGAGUUAGGGUUAGUGUUGGAGCUAGGGUUAGGGUUGGGCUUGGAGCUAGGAUUUUUCUGAGUGCACUGAACCAACUCCCGAGUCUCUAGGACAUUCCUAAAAAAAUUUGAUUUUUUCCCAUAGGAAUGCAUGGGUUAGGGUUAGGGUUAGGGUUGGAGCUAGGGUUAGGGUUAGGGUUAGGGUUGGAGUUAGGGUUAGUGUUGGAGCUAGGGUUAGGGUUGGGCUUGGAGCUAGGACUUUUCUGAGUGCAAUGAACCAACUCCCGAGUCUCUAGGAGUUCCUAAAAAAAUUUGAUUUUUUCCCAUAGGAAUGCAUGGGUUAGGGUUAGGGUUAGGGUUGGAGCUAGGGUUAGGGUUAGGGUUAGGGUUGGAGUUAGGGUUAGUGUUGGAGCUAGGGUUAGGGUUGGGCUUGGAGCUAGGAUUUUUCUGAGUGCACUGAACCAACUCCCGAGUCUCUAGGACAUUCCUAAAAAAAUUUGAUUUUUUCCCAUAGGAAUGCAUGGGUUAGGGUUAUGGUUAGGGUUAGGGUUGGAGCUAGGGUUAGGGUUAGGGUUAGGGUUGGAGUUAGGGUUAGUGUUGGAGCUAGGGUUAGGGUUGGGCUUGGAGCUAGGAUUUUUCUGAGUGCACUGAACCAACUCCCGAGUCUCUAGGACAUUCCUAAAAAAAUUUGAUUUUUUCCCAUAGGAAUGCAUGGGUUAGGGUUAUGGUUAGGGUUAGGGUUGGAGCUAGGGUUAGGGUUAGGGUUAGGGUUGGAGUUAGGGUUAGUGUUGGAGCUAGGGUUAGGGUUGGGCUUGGAGCUAGGAUUUUUCUGAGUGCACUGAACCAACUCCCGAGUCUCUAGGACAUUCCUAAAAAAAUUUGAUUUUUUCCCAUAGGAAUGCAUGGGUUAGGGGGUUAGGGUUAGGGUUGGAGCUAGGGUUAGGGUUAGGGUUAGGGUUGGAGUUAGGGUUAGUGUUGGAGCUAGGGUUAGGGUUGGGCUUGGAGCUAGGAUUUUUCUGAGUGCACUGAACCAACUCCCGAGUCUCUAGGACAUUCCUAAAAAAAUUUGAUUUUUUCCCAUAGGAAUGCAUGGGUUAGGGGUUAGGGUUAGGGUUGGAGCUAGGGUUAGGGUUAGGGUUAGGGUUGGAGUUAGGGUUAGUGUUGGAGCUAGGGUUAGGGUUGGGCUUGGAGCUAGGAUUUUUCUGAGUGCACUGAACCAACUCCCGAGUCUCUAGGACAUUCCUAAAAAAAUUUGAUUUUUUCCCAUAGGAAUGCAUGGGUUAGGGUUAUGGUUAGGGUUAGGGUUGGAGCUAGGGUUAGGGUUAGGGUUAGGGUUGGAGUUAGGGUUAGUGUUGGAGCUAGGGUUAGGGUUGGGCUUGGAGCUAGGAUUUUUCUGAGUGCACUGAACCAACUCCCGAGUCUCUAGGACAUUCCUAAAAAAAUUUGAUUUUUUCCCAUAGGAAUGCAUGGGUUAGGGUUAUGGUUAGGGUUAGGGUUGGAGCUAGGGUUAGGGUUAGGGUUAGGGUUGGAGUUAGGGUUAGUGUUGGAGCUAGGGUUAGGGUUGGGCUUGGAGCUAGGAUUUUUCUGAGUGCACUGAACCAACUCCCGAGUCUCUAGGACAUUCCUAAAAAAAUUUGAUUUUUUCCCAUAGGAAUGCAUGGGUUAGGGUUAUGGUUAGGGUUAGGGUUGGAGCUAGGGUUAGGGUUAGGGUUAGGGUUGGAGUUAGGGUUAGUGUUGGAGCUAGGGUUAGGGUUGGGCUUGGAGCUAGGAUUUUUCUGAGUGCACUGAACCAACUCCCGAGUCUCUAGGACGUUCCUAAAAAAAUUUGAUUUUUUCCCAUAGGAAUGCAUGGGUUAGGGUUAGGGUUAGGGUUGGAGCUAGGGUUAGGGUUAGGGUUAGGGUUGGAGUUAGGGUUAGUGUUGGAGCUUUGGUUAGGGUUGGGCUUGGAGCUAGGAUUUUUCUGAGUGCACUGAACCAACUCCCGAGUCUCUAGGACAUUCCUAAAAAAAUUUGAUUUUUUCCCAUAGGAAUGCAUGGGUUAGGGUUAUGGUUAGGGUUAGGGUUGGAGCUAGGGUUAGGGUUAGGGUUAGGGUUGGAGUUAGGGUUAGUGUUGGAGCUAGGGUUAGGGUUGGGCUUGGAGCUAGGAUUUUCUGAGUGCACUGAACCAACUCCCGAGUCUCUAGGACAUUCCUAAAAAAAUUUGAUUUUUUCCCAUAGGAAUGCAUGGGUUAGGGUUAUGGUUAGGGUUAGGGUUGGAGCUAGGGUUAGGGUUAGGGUUAGGGUUGGAGUUAGGGUUAGUGUUGGAGCUAGGGUUAGGGUUGGGCUUGGAGCUAGGAUUUUUCUGAGUGCACUGAACCAACUCCCGAGUCUCUAGGACAUUCCCUAAAAAAAAUUUGAUUUUUUCCCAUAGGAAUGCAUGGGUUAGGGUUAGGGUUAGGGUUGGAUUUAGGGUUAGGGUUAGGGUUAGGGUUGGAGUUAGGGUUAGUGUUGGAGCUAGGGUUAGGGUUGGGCUUGGAGCUAGGAUUUUUCUGAGUGCACUGAACCAACUCCCGAGUCUCUAGGACAUUCCUAAAAAAAUUUGAUUUUUUCCCAUAGGAAUGCAUGGGUUAGGGUUAGGGUUAGGGUUGGAGCUAGGGUUAGGGUUAGGGUUGGAGUUAGGGUUAGUGUUGGAGCUAGGGUUAGGGUUGGGCUUGGAGCUAGGAUUUUUCUGAGUGCACUGAACCAACUCCCGAGUCUCUAGGACGUUCCUAAAAAAAUUUGAUUUUUUCCCAUAGGAAUGCAUGGGUUGGGGUUAGGGUUAGGGUUGGAGCUAGGGUUAGGGUUGGGGUUAGGGUUGGAGUUAGGGUUAGUGUUGGAGCUAGGGUUAGGGUUGGGCUUGGAGCUAGGAUUUUUCUGAGUGCACUGAACCAACUCCCGAGUCUCUAGGACAUUCCUAAAAAAAUUUGAUUUUUUCCCAUAGGAAUGCAUGGGUUAGGGUUAUGGUUAGGGUUAGGGUUGGAGCUAGGGUUAGGGUUAGGGUUAGGGUUGGAGUUAGGGUUAGUGUUGGAGCUAGGGUUAGGGUUGGGCUUGGAGCUAGGAUUUUUCUGAGUGCACUGAACCAACUCCCGAGUCUCUAGGACAUUCCUAAAAAAAUUUGAUUUUUUCCCAUAGGAAUGCAUGGGUUAGGGUUAGGGUUAGGGUUGGAGCUAGGGUUAGGGUUAGGGUUAGGGUUGGAGUUAGGGUUAGUGUUGGAGCUAGGGUUAGGGUUGGGCUUGGAGCUAGGAUUUUUCUGAGUGCACUGAACCAACUCCCGAGUCUCUAGGACAUUCCUAAAAAAAUUUGAUUUUUUCCCAUAGGAAUGCAUGGGUUAGGGUUAGGGUUAGGGUUAGGGUUGGAGCUAGGGUUAGGGUUAGGGUUAGGGUUAGGGUUAGGGUUAGGGUUGGAGUUAGGGUUAGUGUUGGAGCUAGGGUUAGGGUUGGGCUUGGAGCUAGGAUUUUUCUGAGUGCACUGAACCAACUCCCGAGUCUCUAGGACGUUCCUAAAAAAUUUGAUUUUUUCCCAUAGGAAUGCAUGGGUUAGGGUUAGGGUUAGGGUUGGAGCUAGGGUUAGGGUUAGGGUUAGGGUUGGAGUUAGGGUUAGUGUUGGAGCUAGGGUUAGGGUUUGGCUUGGAGCUAGGAUUUUUCUGAGUGCACUGAACCAACUCCCGAGUCUCUAGGACAUUCCUAAAAAAAUUUGAGUUUUUCCCAUAGGAAUGCAUGGGUUAGGGUUAGGGUUAGGGUUGGAGCUAGGGUUAGGGUUAGGGUUAGGGUUGGAGUUAGGGUUAGUGUUGGAGCUAGGGUUAGGGUUGGGCUUGGAGCUAGGAUUUUUCUGAGUGCACUGAACCAACUCCCGAGUCUCUAGGACAUUCCUAAAAAAAUUUGAUUUUUUCCCAUAGGAAUGCAUGGGUUAGGGUUAUGGUUAGGGUUAGGGUUGGAGCUAGGGUUAGGGUUAGGGUUAGGGUUGGAGUUAGGGUUAGUGUUGGAGCUAGGGUUAGGGUUGGGCUUGGAGCUAGGAUUUUUCUGAGUGCACUGAACCAACUCCCGAGUCUCUAGGACAUUCCUAAAAAAAUUUGAUUUUUUCCCAUAGGAAUGCAUGGGUUAGGGUUAUGGUUAGGGUUAGGGUUGGAGCUAGGGUUAGGGUUAGGGUUAGGGUUGGAGUUAGGGUUAGUGUUGGAGCUAGGGUUAGGGUUGGGCUUGGAGCUAGGAUUUUUCUGAGUGCACUGAACCAACUCCCGAGUCUCUAGGAUGUUCCUAAAAAAAUUUGAUUUUUUCCCAUAGGAAUGCAUGGGUUAGGGUUAGGGUUAGGGUUGGAGCUAGGGUUAGGGUUAGGGUUAGGGUUGGGGUUAGUGUUAGUGAGAGCUAGGGUUAGGGUUGGGCUUGGAGCUAGGAUUUUUCUGAGUGCACUGAACCAACUCCCGAGUCUCUAGGACAUUCCUAAAAAAAUUUGAUUUUUUCCCAUAGGAAUGCAUGGGUUAGGGUUAGGGUUAGGGUUGGAGCUAGGGUUAGGGUUAGGGUUGGAGUUAGGGUUAGUGUUGGAGCUAGGGUUAGGGUUGGGCUUGGAGCUAGGAUUUUUCUGAGUGCACUGAACCAACUCCCGAGUCUCUAGGACAUUCCUAAAAAAAUUUGAUUUUUUCCCAUAGGAAUGCAUGGGUUAGGGUUAUGGUUAGGGUUAGGGUUGGAGCUAGGGUUAGGGUUAGGGUUAGGGUUGGAGUUAGGGUUAGUGUUGGAGCUAGGGUUAGGGUUGGGCUUGGAGCUAGGAUUUUUCUGAGUGCACUGAACCAACUCCCGAGUCUCUAGGACAUUCCUAAAAAAAUUUGAGUUUUUCCCAUAGGAAUGCAUGGGUUAGGUUAGGGUUAGGGUUGGAGCUAGGGUUAGGGUUAGGGUUAGGGUUGGAGUUAGGGUUAGUGUUGGAGCUAGGGUUAGGGUUGGGCUUGGAGCUAGGAUUUUUCUGAGUGCACUGAACCAACUCCCGAGUCUCUAGGACAUUCCUAAAAAAAAUUUGAUUUUUUCCCAUAGGAAUGCAUGGGUUAGGGUUAUGGUUAGGGUUAGGGUUGGAGCUAGGGUUAGGGUUAGGGUUAGGGUUGGAGUUAGGGUUAGUGUUGGAGCUAGGGUUAGGGUUGGGCUUGGAGCUAGGAUUUUUCUGAGUGCACUGAACCAACUCCCGAGUCUCUAGGACAUUCCUAAAAAAAUUUGAUUUUUUCCCAUAGGAAUGCAUGGGUUAGGGUUAGGGUUAGGGUUAGGGUUGGAGCUAGGGUUAGGGUUAGGGUUAGGGUUAGGGUUAGGGUUGGAGUUAGGGUUAGUGUUGGAGCUAGGGUUAGGGUUGGGCUUGGAGCUAGGAUUUUUCUGAGUGCACUGAACCAACUCCCGAGUCUCUAGGACAUUCCUAAAAAAAUUUGAUUUUUUCCCAUAGGAAUGCAUGGGUUAGGGUUAUGGUUAGGGUUAGGGUUGGAGCUAGGGUUAGGGUUAGGGUUAGGGUUGGAGUUAGGGUUAGUGUUGGAGCUAGGGUUAGGGUUGGGCUUGGAGCUAGGAUUUUUCUGAGUGCACUGAACCAACUCCCGAGUCUCUAGGAUGUUCCUAAAAAAAUUUGAUUUUUUCCCAUAGGAAUGCAUGGGUUAGGGUUAGGGUUAGGGUUGGAGCUAGGGUUAGGGUUAGGGUUAGGGUUGGAGUUAGGGUUAGUGUUGGAGCUAGGGUUAGGGUUGGGCUUGGAGCUAGGAUUUUUCUGAGUGCACUGAACCAACUCCCGAGUCUCUAGGACAUUCCUAAAAAAAUUUGAUUUUUUCCCAUAGGAAUGCAUGGGUUAGGGUUAUGGUUAGGGUUAGGGUUGGAGCUAGGGUUAGGGUUAGGGUUAGGGUUGGAGUUAGGGUUAGUGUUGGAGCUAGGGUUAGGGUUGGGCUUGGAGCUAGGAUUUUUCUGAGUGCACUGAACCAACUCCCGAGUCUCUAGGACAUUCCUAAAAAAAUUUGAUUUUUUUCCCAUAGGAAUGCAUGGGUUAGGGUUAUGGUUAGGGUUAGGGUUGGAGCUAGGGUUAGGGUUAGGGUUAGGGUUGGAGUUAGGGUUAGUGUUGGAGCUAGGGUUAGGGUUGGGCUUGGAGCUAGGAUUUUUCUGAGUGCACUGAACCAACUCCCGAGUCUCUAGGACAUUCCUAAAAAAAUUUGAUUUUUUCCCAUAGGAAUGCAUGGGUUAGGGUUAUGGUUAGGGUUAGGGUUGGAGCUAGGGUUAGGGUUAGGGUUAGGGUUGGAGUUAGGGUUAGUGUUGGAGCUAGGGUUAGGGUUGGGCUUGGAGCUAGGAUUUUUUGAGUGCAAUGAACCAACUCCCGAGUCUCUAGGACGUUCCUAAAAAAAUUUGAUUUUUUCCCAUAGGAAUGCAUGGGUUAGGGUUAUGGUUAGGGUUAGGGUUGGAGCUAGGGUUAGGGUUAGGGUUAGGGUUGGAGUUAGGGUUAGUGUUGGAGCUAGGGUUAGGGUUGGGCUUGGAGCUAGGAUUUUUCUGAGUGCACUGAACCAACUCCCGAGUCUCUAGGACGUUCCUAAAAAAAUUUGAUUUUUUCCCAUAGGAAUGCAUGGGUUGGGUUAGGGUUAGGGUUAGGGUUGGAGCUAGGGUUAGGGUUAGGGUUAGGGUUGGAGUUAGGGUUAGUGUUGGAGCUAGGGUUAGGGUUGGGCUUGGAGCUAGGAUUUUUCUGAGUGCACUGAACCAACUCCCGAGUCUCUAGGACAUUCCUAAAAAAAUUUGAUUUUUUCCCAUAGGAAUGCAUGGGUUAGGGUUAGGGUUAGGGUUGGAGCUAGGGUUAGGGUUAGGGUUAGGGUUGGAGUUAGGGUUAGUGUUGGAGCUAGGGUUAGGGUUGGGCUUGGAGCUAGGAUUUUUCUGAGUGCAAUGAACCAACUCCCGAGUCUCUAGGACGUUCCUAAAAAAAUUUGAUUUUUUCCCAUAGGAAUGCAUGGGUUAUGGUUAGGGUUAGGGUUGGAGCUAGGGUUAGGGUUAGGUUUAGGGUUGGAGUUAGGGUUAGUGUUGGAGCUAGGGUUAGGGUUGGGCUUGGAGCUAGGAUUUUUCUGAGUGCACUGAACCAACUCCCGAGUCUCUAGGACAUUCCUAAAAAAAUUUGAUUUUUUCCCAUAGGAAUGCAUGGGUUAGGCUUAUGGUUAGGGUUAGGGUUGGAGCUAGGGUUAGGGUUAGGGUUAGGGUUGGAGUUAGGGUUAGUGUUGGAGCUAGGGUUAGGGUUGGGCUUGGAGCUAGGAUUUUUCUGAGUGCAACUGAACCAACUCCCGAGUCUCUUGGACGUUCCUAAAAAAAUUUGAUUUUUUCCCAUAGGAAUGCAUGGGUUAGGGUUAGGGUUAGGGUUGGAGCUAGGGUUAGGGUUAGGGUUAGGGUUGGAGUUAGGGUUAGUGUUGGAGCUAGGGUUAGGGUUGGGCUUGGAGCUAGGAUUUUUCUGAGUGCACUGAACCAACUCCCGAGUCUCUAGGACGUUCCUAAAAAAAUUUGAUUUUUUCCCAUAGGAAUGCAUGGGUUAGGGUUAUGGUUAGGGUUAGGGUUGGAGCUAGGGUUAGGGUUAGGGUUAGGGUUGGAGUUAGGGUUAGUGUUGGAGCUAGGGUUAGGGUUGGGCUUGGAGCUAGGAUUUUUCUGAGUGCAAUGAACCAACUCCCGAGUCUCUUGGACGUUCCUAAAAAAAUUUGAUUUUUUCCCAUAGGAAUGCAUGGGUUAGGGUUAGGGUUAGGGUUGGAGCUAGGGUUAGGGUUAGGGUUAGGGUUGGAGUUAGGGUUAGUGUUGGAGCUAGGGUUAGGGUUGGGCUUGGAGCUAGGAUUUUUCUGAGUGCAAUGAACCAACUCCCGAGUCUCUAGGACGUUCCUAAAAAAAUUUGAUUUUUUCCCAUAGGAAUGCAUGGGUUAGGGUUAGGGUUAGGGUUGGAGCUAGGGUUAGGGUUAGGUUUAGGGUUGGAGUUAGGGUUAGUGUUGGAGCUAGGGUUAGGGUUGGGCUUGGAGCUAGGAUUUUUCUGAGUGCACUGAACCAACUCCCGAGUCUCUAGGACAUUCCUAAAAAAAUUUGAUUUUUUCCCAUAGGAAUGCAUGGUUUAGGGUUAUGGUUAGGGUUAGGGUUGGAGCUAGGGUUAGGGUUAGGGUUAGGGUUGGAGUUAGGGUUAGUGUUGGAGCUAGGGUUAGGGUUGCGCUUGGAGCUAGGACUUUUCUGAGUGCAAUGAACCAACUCCCGAGUCUCUAGGAUGUUCCCUUAAAAAAAAUUGAUUUUUUCCCAUAGGAAUGCAUGGGUUAGGGUUAGGGUUAGGGUUGGAGCUAGGGUUAGGGUUAGGGUUAGGGUUGGAGUUAGGGUUCGUGUUGGAGCUAGGGUUAGGGUUGGGCUUGGAGCUAGGAUUUUUCUGAGUGCACUGAACCAACUCCCGAGUCUCUAGGACAUUCCUAAAAAAAUUUGAUUUUUUCCCAUAGGAAUGCAUGGGUUAGGGUUAUGGUUAGGGUUAGGGUUGGAGCUAGGGUUAGGGUUAGGGUUAGGGUUGGAGUUAGGGUUAGUGUUGGAGCUAGGGUUAGGGUUGGGCUUGGAGCUAGGACUUUUCUGAGUGCAAUGAACCAACUCCCGAGUCUCUAGGACGUUCCUAAAAAAAAUUGAUUUUUUCCCAUAGGAAUGCAUGGGUUAGGGUUAGGGUUAGGGUUGGAGCUAGGGUUAGGGUUAGGGUUAGGGUUGGAGUUAGGGUUAGUGUUGGAGCUAGGGUUAGGGUUGGGCUUGGAGCUAGGAUUUUUCUGAGUGCACUGAACCAACUCCCGAGUCUCUAGGACGUUCCUAAAAAAAUUUGAUUUUUUCCCAUAGGAAUGCAUGGGUUAGGGUUAGGGUUAGGGUUGGAGCUAGGGUUAGGGUUAGGGUUAGGGUUAGGGUUGGAGUUAGGGUUAGUGUUGGAGCUAGGGUUAGGGUUGGGCUUGGAGCUAGGAUUUUUCUGAGUGCACUGAACCAACUCCCGAGUCUCUAGGAUAUUCCUAAAAAAAUUUGAUUUUUUCCCAUAGGAAUGCAUGGGUUAGGGUUAGGGUUAGGGUUGGAGCUAGGGUUAGGGUUAGGGUUAGGGUUGGAGUUAGGGUUAGUGUUGGAGCUAUGGUUAGGGUUGGGCUUGGAGCUAGGAUUUUUCUGAGUGCACUGAACCAACUCCCGAGUCUCUAGGACAUUCCUAAAAAAUUUUGAUUUUUUCCCAUAGGAAUGCAUGGGUUAGGGUUAUGGUUAGGGUUAGGGUUGGAGCUAGGGUUAGGGUUAGGGUUAGGGUUGGAGUUAGGGUUAGUGUUGGAGCUAGGGUUAGGGUUGGGCUUGGAGCUAGGAUUUUUCUGAGUGCACUGAACCAACUCCCGAGUCUCUAGGACAUUCCUAAAAAAAUUUGAUUUUUUUCCCAUAGGAAUGCAUGGGUUAGGGUUAGGGUUAGGGUUGGAGCUAGGGUUAGGGUUAGGGUUAGGGUUGGAGUUAGGGUUAGUGUUGGAGCUAGGGUUAGGGUUGGGCUUGGAGCUAGGAUUUUUCUGAGUGCACUGAACCAACUCCCGAGUCUCUAGGACAUUCCUAAAAAAAUUUGAUUUUUUCCCAUAGGAAUGCAUGGGUUAGGGUUAGGGUUAGGGUUGGAGCUAGGGUUAGGGUUAGGGUUAGGGUUAGGGUUGGAGUUAGGGUUAGUGUUGGAGCUAGGGUUAGGGUUGGGCUUGGAGCUAGGAUUUUUCUGAGUGCACUGAACCAACUCCCGAGUCUCUAGGACAUUCCUAAAAAAAUUUGAUUUUUUCCCAUAGGAAUGCAUGGGUUAGGGUUAUGGUUAGGGUUAGGGUUGGAGCUAGGGUUAGGGUUAGGGUUAGGGUUGGAGUUAGGGUUAGUGUUGGAGCUAGGGUUAGGGUUGGGCUUGGAGCUAGGAUUUUUCUGAGUGCAAUGAACCAACUCCCGAGUCUCUAGGACGUUCCUAAAAAAAUUUGAUUUUUUCCCAUAGGAAUGCAUGGGUUAGGGUUAGGGUUAGGGUUGGAGCUAGGGUUAGGGUUAGGGUUAGGGUUGGAGUUAGGGUUAGUGUUGGAGCUAGGGUUAGGGUUGGGCUUGGAGCUAGGAUUUUUCUGAGUGCACUGAACCAACUCCCGAGUCUCUAGGACAUUCCUAAAAAAAAUUGAUUUUUUCCCAUAGGAAUGCAUGGGUUAGGGUUAUGGUUAGGGUUAGGGUUGGAGCUAGGGUUAGGGUUAGGGUUAGGGUUGGAGUUAGGGUUAGUGUUGGAGCUAGGGUUAGGGUUGGGCUUGGAGCUAGGACUUUUCUGAGUGCAAUGAACCAACUCCCGAGUCUCUAGGACGUUCCCUAAAAAAAUUUGAUUUUUUCCCAUAGGAAUGCAUGGGUUAGGGUUAGGGUUAGGGUUGGAGCUAGGGUUAGGGUUAGGGUUAGGGUUGGAGUUAGGGUUAGUGUUGGAGCUAGGGUUAGGGUUGGGCUUGGAGCUAGGAUUUUUCUGAGUGCACUGAACCAACUCCCGAGUCUCUAGGACAUUCCUAAAAAAAUUUGAUUUUUUCCCAUAGGAAUGCAUGGGUUAGGGUUAUGGUUAGGGUUAGGGUUGGAGCUAGGGUUAGGGUUAGGGUUAGGGUUGGAGUUAGGGUUAGUGUUGGAGCUAGGGUUAGGGUUGGGCUUGGAGCUAGGAUUUUUCUGAGUGCAUGAACCAACUCCCGAGUCUCUAGGACGUUCCUAAAAAAAUUUGAUUUUUUCCCAUAGGAAUGCAUGGGUUAGGGUUAUGGUUAGGGUUGGAGCUAGGGUUAGGGUUAGGGUUAGGGUUGGAGUUAGGGUUAGUGUUGGAGCUAGGGUUAGGGUUGGGCUUGGAGCUAGGAUUUUUCUGAGUGCACUGAACCAACUCCCGAGUCUCUAGGACAUUCCUAAAAAAAUUUGAUUUUUUCCCAUAGGAAUGCAUGGGUUAGGGUUAGGGUUAGGGUUGGAGCUAGGGUUAGGGUUAGGGUUAGGGUUGGAGUUAGGGUUAGUGUUGGAGCUAGGGUUAGGGUUGGGCUUGGAGCUAGGAUUUUUCUGAGUGCAAUGAACCAACUCCCGAGUCUCUAGGACGUUCCUAAAAAAAUUUGAUUUUUUCCCAUAGGAAUGCAUGGGUUAGGGUUAGGGUUAGGGUUGGAGCUAGGGUUAGGGUUAGGGUUAGGGUUGGAGUUAGGGUUAGUGUUGGAGCUAGGGUUAGGGUUGGGCUUGGAGCUAGGAUUUUUCUGAGUGCACUGAACCAACUCCCGAGUCUCUAGGACAUUCCUAAAAAAAUUUGAUUUUUUCCCAUAGGAAUGCAUGGGUUAGGGUUAUGGUUAGGGUUAGGGUUGGAGCUAGGGUUAGGGUUAGGGUUAGGGUUGGAGUUAGGGUUAGUGUUGGAGCUAGGGUUAGGGUUGGGCUUGGAGCUAGGACUUUUCUGAGUGCAAUGAACCAACUCCCGAGUCUCUAGGACGUUCCCUAAAAAAAUUUGAUUUUUUCCCAUAGGAAUGCAUGGGUUAGGGUUAGGGUUAGGGUUGGAGCUAGGGUUAGGGUUAGGGUUAGGGUUGGAGUUAGGGUUAGUGUUGGAGCUAGGGUUAGGGUUGGGCUUGGAGCUAGGAUUUUUCUGAGUGCACUGAACCAACUCCCGAGUCUCUAGGACAUUCCUAAAAAAAUUUGAUUUUUUCCCAUAGGAAUGCAUGGGUUAGGGUUAGGGUUAGGGUUGGAGCUAGGGUUAGGGUUAGGGUUAGGGUUGGAGUUAGGGUUAGUGUUGGAGCUAGGGUUAGGGUUGGGCUUGGAGCUAGGAUUUUUCUGAGUCCAGUGAACCAACUCCCGAGUCUCUAGGACAUUCCUAAAAAAAUUUGAUUUUUUCCCAUAGGAAUGCAUGGGUUAGGGUUAGGGUUAGGGUUGGAGCUAGGGUUAGGGUUAGGGUUAGGGUUGGAGUUAGGGUUAGUGUUGGAGCUAGGGUUAGGGUUGGGCUUGGAGCUAGGAUUUUUCUGAGUGCACUGAACCAACUCCCGAGUCUCUAGGACAUUCCUAAAAAAAUUUGAUUUUUUCCCAUAGGAAUGCAUGGUUUAGGGUUAUGGUUAGGGUUAGGGUUGGAGCUAGGGUUAGGGUUAGGGUUAGGGUUGGAGUUAGGGUUAGUGUUGGAGCUAGGGUUAGGGUUGGGCUUGGAGCUAGGACUUUUCUGAGUGCAAUGAACCAACUCCCGAGUCUCUAGGACGUUCCAAAAAAAAAUUUGAUUUUUUCCCAUAGGAAUGCAUGGGUUAGGGUUAGGGUUAGGGUUGGAGCUAGGGUUAGGGUUAGGGUUAGGGUUGGAGUUAGGGUUAGUGUUGGAGCUAGGGUUAGGGUUGGGCUUGGAGCUAGGAUUUUUCUGAGUGCACUGAACCAACUCCCGAGUCUCUAGGACGUUCCUAAAAAAAUUUGAUUUUUUCCCAUAGGAAUGCAUGGGUUAGGGUUAGGGUUAGGGUUGGAGCUAGGGUUAGGGUUAGGGUUAGGGUUGGAGUUAGGGUUAGUGUUGGAGCUAGGGUUAGGGUUGGGCUUGGAGCUAGGAUUUUUCUGAGUGCACUGAACCAACUCCCGAGUCUCUAGGACAUUCCUAAAAAAAUUUGAGUUUUUCCCAUAGGAAUGCAUGGGUUAGGGUUAGGGUUAGGGUUGGAGCUAGGGUUAGGGUUAGGGUUAGGGUUGGAGUUAGGGUUAGUGUUGGAGCUAGGGUUAGGGUUGGGCUUGGAGCUAGGAUUUUUCUGAGUGCACUGAACCAACUCCCGAGUCUCUAGGACAUUCCUAAAAAAAUUUGAUUUUUUCCCAUAGGAAUGCAUGGGUUAGGGUUAGGGUUAGGGUUGGAGCUAGGGUUAGGGUUAGGGUUAGGGUUGGAGUUAGGGUUAGUGUUGGAGCUAGGGUUAGGGUUGGGCUUGGAGCUAGGAUUUUUCUGAGUGCAAUGAACCAACUCCCGAGUCUCUUGGACGUUCCUAAAAAAAUUUGAUUUUUUCCCAUAGGAAUGCAUGGGUUAGGGUUAGGGUUAGGGUUGGAGCUAGGGUUAGGGUUAGGGUUAGGGUUGGAGUUAGGGUUAGUGUUGGAGCUAGGGUUAGGGUUGGGCUUGGAGCUAGGAUUUUUCUGAGUGCACUGAACCAACUCCCGAGUCUCUAGGACGUUCCUAAAAAAAUUUGAUUUUUUCCCAUAGGAAUGCAUGGGUUAGGGUUAGGGUUAGGGUUGGAGCUAGGGUUAGGGUUAGGGUUAGGGUUGGAGUUAGGGUUAGUGUUGGAGCUAGGGUUAGGGUUGGGCUUGGAGCUAGGAUUUUUCUGAGUGCACUGAACCAACUCCCGAGUCUCUAGGACGUUCCUAAAAAAAUUUGAUUUUUUCCCAUAGGAAUGCAUGGGUUAGGGUUAGGGUUAGGGUUGGAGCUAGGGUUAGGGUUAGGGUUAGGGUUGGAGUUAGGGUUAGUGUUGGAGCUAGGGUUAGGGUUGGGCUUGGAGCUAGGAUUUUUCUGAGUGCACUGAACCAACUCCCGAGUCUCUAGGACAUUCCUAAAAAAAUUUGAUUUUUCCCAUAGGAAUGCAUGGGUUAGGGUUAGGGUUAGGGUUGGAGCUAGGGUUAGGGUUAGGGUUAGGGUUGGAGUUAGGGUUAGUGUUGGAGCUAGGGUUAGGGUUGGGCUUGGAGCUAGGAUUUUUCUGAGUGCACUGAACCAACUCCCGAGUCUCUAGGACAUUCCUAAAAAAAUUUGAUUUUUUUCCCAUAGGAAUGCAUGGGUUAGGGUUAGGGUUAGGGUUAGGGUUGGAGCUAGGGUUAGGGUUAGGGUUAGGGUUGGAGUUAGGGUUAGUGUUGGAGCUAGGGUUAGGGUUGGGCUUGGAGCUAGGAUUUUUCUGAGUGCACUGAACCAACUCCCGAGUCUCUAGGACGUUCCUAAAAAAAUUUGAUUUUUUCCCAUAGGAAUGCAUGGGUUAGGGUUAGGGUUAGGGUUGGAGCUAGGGUUAGGGUUAGGGUUAGGGUUGGAGUUAGGGUUAGUGUUGGAGCUAGGGUUAGGGUUGGGCUUGGAGCUAGGAUUUUUCUGAGUGCACUGAACCAACUCCCGAGUCUCUAGGACGUUCCUAAAAAAAUUUGAUUUUUUCCCAUAGGAAUGCAUGGGUUAGGGUUAGGGUUAGGGUUGGAGCUAGGGUUAGGGUUAGGGUUAGGGUUGGAGUUAGGGUUAGUGUUGGAGCUAGGGUUAGGGUUGGGCUUGGAGCUAGGAUUUUUCUGAGUGCACUGAACCAACUCCCGAGUCUCUAGGACAUUCCUAAAAAAAUUUGAUUUUUUCCCAUAGGAAUGCAUGGGUUAGGGUUAGGGUUAGGGUUGGAGCUAGGGUUAGGGUUAGGGUUAGGGUUGGAGUUAGGGUUAGUGUUGGAGCUAGGGUUAGGGUUGGGCUUGGAGCUAGGAUUUUUCUGAGUGCACUGAACCAACUCCCGAGUCUCUAGGACAUUCCUAAAAAAAUUUGAUUUUUUCCCAUAGGAAUGCAUGGGUUAGGGUUAUGGUUAGGGUUAGGGUUGGAGCUAGGGUUAGGGUUAGGGUUAGGGUUGGAGUUAGGGUUAGUGUUGGAGCUAGGGUUAGGGUUGGGCUUGGAGCUAGGAUUUUUCUGAGUGCACUGAACCAACUCCCGAGUCUCUAGGACAUUCCUAAAAAAAUUUGAUUUUUUCCCAUAGGAAUGCAUGGGUUAGGGUUAGGGUUAGGGUUGGAGCUAGGGUUAGGGUUAGGGUUAGGGUUGGAGUUAGGGUUAGUGUUGGAGCUAGGGUUAGGGUUGGGCUUGGAGCUAGGAUUUUUCUGAGUGCACUGAACCAACUCCCGAGUCUCUAGGACAUUCCUAAAAAAAUUUGAUUUUUUCCCAUAGGAAUGCAUGGGUUAGGGUUAUGGUUAGGGUUGGAGCUAGGGUUAGGGUUAGGGUUAGGGUUGGAGUUAGGGUUAGUGUUGGAGCUAGGGUUAGGGUUGGGCUUGGAGCUAGGAUUUUUCUGAGUGCACUGAACCAACUCCCGAGUCUCUAGGACAUUCCUAAAAAAAUUUGAUUUUUUCCCAUAGGAAUGCAUGGGUUAGGGUUAGGGUUAGGGUUGGAGCUAGGGUUAGGGUUAGGGUUAGGGUUGGAGUUAGGGUUAGUGUUGGAGCUAGGGUUAGGGUUGGGCUUGGAGCUAGGAUUUUUCUGAGUGCACUGAACCAACUCCCGAGUCUCUAGGACAUUCCUAAAAAAAUUUGAUUUUUUCCCAUAGGAAUGCAUGGGUUAGGGUUAUGGUUAGGGUUAGGGUUGGAGCUAGGGUUAGGGUUAGGGUUAGGGUUGGAGUUAGGGUUAGUGUUGGAGCUAGGGUUAGGGUUGGGCUUGGAGCUAGGACUUUUCUGAGUGCAAUGAACCAACUCCCGAGUCUCUAGGACAUUCCUAAAAAAAUUGAUUUUUUCCCAUAGGAAUGCAUGGGUUAGGGUUAUGGUUAGGGUUAGGGUUGGAGCUAGUGUUAGGGUUAGGGUUAGGGUUAGGGUUAGGGUUGGAGUUAGGGUUAGUGUUGGAGCUAGGGUUAGGGUUGGGCUUGGAGCUAGGAUUUUUCUGAGUGCACUGAACCAACUCCCGAGUCUCUAGGACAUUCCUAAAAAAAUUUGAUUUUUUCCCAUAGGAAUGCAUGGGUUAGGGUUAUGGUUAGGGUUAGGGUUGGAGCUAGGGUUAGGGUUAGGGUUAGGGUUGGAGUUAGGGUUAGUGUUGGAGCUAGGGUUAGGGUUGGGCUUGGAGCUAGGAUUUUUCUGAGUGCACUGAACCAACUCCCGAGUCUCUAGGACAUUCCUAAAAAAAUUUGAUUUUUUCCCAUAGGAAUGCAUGGGUUAGGGUUAGGGUUAGGGUUGGAGCUAGGGUUAGGGUUAGGGUUAGGGUUGGAGUUAGGGUUAGUGUUGGAGCUAGGGUUAGGGUUGGGCUUGGAGCUAGGAUUUUUCUGAGUGCACUGAACCAACUCCCGAGUCUCUAGGACAUUCCUAAAAAAAUUUGAUUUUUUCCCAUAGGAAUGCAUGGGUUAGGGUUAGGGUUAGGGUUGGAGCUAGGGUUAGGGUUAGGGUUAGGGUUGGAGUUAGGGUUAGUGUUGGAGCUAGGGUUAGGGUUGGGCUUGGAGCUAGGAUUUUUCUGAGUGCACUGAACCAACUCCCGAGUCUCUAGGACAUUCCUAAAAAAAUUUGAUUUUUUUCCCAUAGGAAUGCAUGGGUUAGGGUUAUGGUUAGGGUUAGGGUUGGAGCUAGGGUUAGGGUUAGGGUUAGGGUUGGAGUUAGGGUUAGUGUUGGAGCUAGGGUUAGGGUUGGGCUUGGAGCUAGGAUUUUUCUGAGUGCAAUGAACCAACUCCCGAGUCUCUAGGACGUUCCUAAAAAAAUUUGAUUUUUUCCCAUAGGAAUGCAUGGGUUAGGGUUAGGGUUAGGGUUGGAGCUAGGGUUAGGGUUAGGGUUAGGGUUGGAGUUAGGGUUAGUGUUGGAGCUAGGGUUAGGGUUGGGCUUGGAGCUAGGAUUUUUCUGAGUGCACUGAACCAACUCCCGAGUCUCUAGGACGUUCCUAAAAAAAUUUGAUUUUUUCCCAUAGGAAUGCAUGGGUUAGGGUUAGGGUUAGGGUUGGAGCUAGGGUUAGGGUUAGGGUUAGGGUUGGAGUUAGGGUUAGUGUUGGAGCUAGGGUUAGGGUUGGGCUUGGAGCUAGGAUUUUUCUGAGUGCACUGAACCAACUCCCGAGUCUCUAGGACAUUCCUAAAAAAAUUUGAUUUUUUCCCAUAGGAAUGCAUGGGUUAGGGUUAGGGUUAGGGUUGGAGCUAGGGUUAGGGUUAGGGUUAGGGUUGGAGUUAGGGUUAGUGUUGGAGCUAGGGUUAGGGUUGGGCUUGGAGCUAGGAUUUUUCUGAGUGCACUGAACCAACUCCCGAGUCUCUAGGACAUUCCUAAAAAAAUUUGAUUUUUUCCCAUAGGAAUGCAUGGGUUAGGGUUAUGGUUAGGGUUAGGGUUGGAGCUAGGGUUAGGGUUAGGGUUAGGGUUGGAGUUAGGGUUAGUGUUGGAGCUAGGGUUAGGGUUGGGCUUGGAGCUAGGAUUUUUCUGAGUGCACUGAACCAACUCCCGAGUCUCUAGGACAUUCCUAAAAAAAAUUUGAUUUUUUCCCAUAGGAAUGCAUGGGUUAGGGUUAUGGUUAGGGUUAGGGUUGGAGCUAGGGUUAGGGUUAGGGUUAGGGUUGGAGUUAGGGUUAGUGUUGGAGCUAGGGUUAGGGUUGGGCUUGGAGCUAGGAUUUUUCUGAGUGCAAUGAACCAACUCCCGAGUCUCUUGGACGUUCCUAAAAAAAUUUGAUUUUUUCCCAUAGGAAUGCAUGGGUUAGGGUUAGGGUUAGGGUUGGAGCUAGGGUUAGGGUUAGGGUUAGGGUUGGAGUUAGGGUUAGUGUUGGAGCUAGGGUUAGGGUUGGGCUUGGAGCUAGGAUUUUUCUGAGUGCAAUGAACCAACUCCCGAGUCUCUAGGACGUUCCUAAAAAAAUUUGAUUUUUUUCCCAUAGGAAUGCAUGGGUUAGGGUUAUGGUUAGGGUUGGAGCUAGGGUUAGGGUUAGGGUUAGGGUUGGAGUUAGGGUUAGUGUUGGAGCUAGGGUUAGGGUUGGGCUUGGAGCUAGGAUUUUUCUGAGUGCACUGAACCAACUCCCGAGUCUCUAGGACGUUCCUAAAAAAAUUUGAUUUUUUCCCAUAGGAAUGCAUGGGUUAGGGUUAGGGUUAGGGUUGGAGCUAGGGUUAGGGUUAGGGUUAGGGUUGGAGUUAGGGUUAGUGUUGGAGCUAGGGUUAGGGUUGGGCUUGGAGCUAGGAUUUUUCUGAGUGCACUGAACCAACUCCCGAGUCUCUAGGACAUUCCUAAAAAAUUUGAUUUUUUUCCCAUAGGAAUGCAUGGGUUAGGGUUAUGGUUAGGGUUAGGGUUGGAGCUAGGGUUAGGGUUAGGGUUAGGGUUGGAGUUAGGGUUAGUGUUGGAGCUAGGGUUAGGGUUGGGCUUGGAGCUAGGACUUUUCUGAGUGCAAUGAACCAACUCCCGAGUCUCUAGGACAUUCCUAAAAAAAUUUGAUUUUUUCCCAUAGGAAUGCAUGGGUUAGGGUUAUGGUUAGGGUUAGGGUUGGAGCUAGGGUUAGGGUUAGGGUUAGGGUUAGGGUUGGAGUUAGGGUUAGUGUUGGAGCUAGGGUUAGGGUUGGGCUUGGAGCUAGGAUUUUUCUGAGUGCACUGAACCAACUCCCGAGUCUCUAGGACAUUCCUAAAAAAAUUUGAUUUUUUCCCAUAGGAAUGCAUGGGUUAGGGUUAGGGUUAGGGUUAGGGUUGGAGCUAGGGUUAGGGUUAGGGUUGGAGUUAGGGUUAGUGUUGGAGCUAGGGUUAGGGUUGGGCUUGGAGCUAGGAUUUUUCUGAGUGCAAUGAACCAACUCCCGAGUCUCUAGGACGUUCCUAAAAAAAUUUGAUUUUUUCCCAUAGGAAUGCAUGGGUUAGGGUUAGGGUUAGGGUUGGAGCUAGGGUUAGGGUUAGGGUUAGGGUUGGAGUUAGGGUUAGUGUUGGAGCUAGGGUUAGGGUUGGGCUUGGAGCUAGGAUUUUUCUGAGUGCACUGAACCAACUCCCGAGUCUCUAGGACAUUCCUAAAAAAAUUUGAUUUUUUCCCAUAGGAAUGCAUGGGUUAGGGUUAGGGUUAGGGUUGGAGCUAGGGUUAGGGUUAGGGUUAGGGUUGGAGUUAGGGUUAGUGUUGGAGCUAGGGUUAGGGUUGGGCUUGGAGCUAGGAUUUUUCUGAGUGCACUGAACCAACUCCCGAGUCUCUAGGACAUUCCUAAAAAAAUUUGAUUUUUUCCCAUAGGAAUGCAUGGGUUAGGGUUAGGGUUAGGGUUGGAGCUAGGGUUAGGGUUAGGGUUAGGGUUGGAGUUAGGGUUAGUGUUGGAGCUAGGGUUAGGGUUGGGCUUGGAGCUAGGAUUUUUCUGAGUGCACUGAACCAACUCCCGAGUCUCUAGGACAUUCCUAAAAAAAUUUGAUUUUUUCCCAUAGGAAUGCAUGGGUUAGGGUUAUGGUUAGGGUUAGGGUUGGAGCUAGGGUUAGGGUUAGGGUUAGGGUUGGAGUUAGGGUUAGUGUUGGAGCUAGGGUUAGGGUUGGGCUUGGAGCUAGGAUUUUUCUGAGUGCACUGAACCAACUCCCGAGUCUCUAGGACAUUCCUAAAAAAAUUUGAUUUUUUCCCAUAGGAAUGCAUGGGUUAGGGUUAUGGUUAGGGUUAGGGUUGGAGCUAGGGUUAGGGUUAGGGUUAGGGUUGGAGUUAGGGUUAGUGUUGGAGCUAGGGUUAGGGUUGGGCUUGGAGCUAGGACUUUUCUGAGUGCAAUGAACCAACUCCCGAGUCUCUAGGACGUUCCUAAAAAAAUUUGAUUUUUUCCCAUAGGAAUGCAUGGGUUAGGGUUAGGGUUAGGGUUGGAGCUAGGGUUAGGGUUAGGGUUAGGGUUGGAGUUAGGGUUAGUGUUGGAGCUAGGGUUAGGGUUGGGCUUGGAGCUAGGAUUUUUCUGAGUGCACUGAACCAACUCCCGAGUCUCUAGGACAUUCCUAAAAAAAUUUGAUUUUUUCCCAUAGGAAUGCAUGGGUUAGGGUUAGGGUUAGGGUUGGAGCUAGGGUUAGGGUUAGGGUUAGGGUUGGAGUUAGGGUUAGUGUUGGAGCUAGGGUUAGGGUUGGGCUUGGAGCUAGGAUUUUUCUGAGUGCACUGAACCAACUCCCGAGUCUCUAGGACAUUCCUAAAAAAAUUUGAUUUUUUCCCAUAGGAAUGCAUGGGUUAGGGUUAUGGUUAGGGUUAGGGUUGGAGCUAGGGUUAGGGUUAGGGUUAGGGUUGGAGUUAGGGUUAGUGUUGGAGCUAGGGUUAGGGUUGGGCUUGGAGCUAGGACUUUUCUGAGUGCAAUGAACCAACUCCCGAGUCUCUUGGACGUUCCCUAAAAAAUUUGAUUUUUUCCCAUAGGAAUGCAUGGGUUAGGGUUAGGGUUAGGGUUGGAGCUAGGGUUAGGGUUAGGGUUAGGGUUGGAGUUAGGGUUAGUGUUGGAGCUAGGGUUAGGGUUGGGCUUGGAGCUAGGAUUUUUCUGAGUGCACUGAACCAACUCCCGAGUCUCUAGGACAUUCCUAAAAAAAUUUGAUUUUUUCCCAUAGGAAUGCAUGGGUUAGGGUUAUGGUUAGGGUUGGAGCUAGGGUUAGGGUUAGGGUUAGGGUUGGAGUUAGGGUUAGUGUUGGAGCUAGGGUUAGGGUUGGGCUUGGAGCUAGGAUUUUUCUGAGUGCAAUGAACCAACUCCCGAGUCUCUAGGACAUUCCUAAAAAAAUUUGAUUUUUUCCCAUAGGAAUGCAUGGGUUAGGGUUAGGGUUAGGGUUGGAGCUAGGGUUAGGGUUAGGGUUAGGGUUGGAGUUAGGGUUAGUGUUGGAGCUAGGGUUAGGGUUGGGCUUGGAGCUAGGAUUUUUCUGAGUGCACUGAACCAACUCCCGAGUCUCUAGGACAUUCCUAAAAAAAUUUGAUUUUUUCCCAUAGGAAUGCAUGGGUUAGGGUUAUGGUUAGGGUUAGGGUUGGAGCUAGGGUUAGGGUUAGGGUUAGGGUUGGAGUUAGGGUUAGUGUUGGAGCUAGGGUUAGGGUUGGGCUUGGAGCUAGGACUUUUCUGAGUGCAAUGAACCAACUCCCGAGUCUCUUGGACGUUCCCUAAAAAAAUUUGAUUUUUUUCCCAUAGGAAUGCAUGGGUUAGGGUUAGGGUUAGGGUUGGAGCUAGGGUUAGGGUUAGGGUUAGGGUUGGAGUUAGGGUUAGUGUUGGAGCUAGGGUUAGGGUUGGGCUUGGAGCUAGGAUUUUUCUGAGUGCACUGAACCAACUCCCGAGUCUCUAGGACAUUCCUAAAAAAAUUUGAUUUUUUCCCAUAGGAAUGCAUGGGUUAGGGUUAGGGUUAGGGUUGGAGCUAGGGUUAGGGUUAGGGUUAGGGUUGGAGUUAGGGUUAGUGUUGGAGCUAGGGUUAGGGUUGGGCUUGGAGCUAGGAUUUUUCUGAGUGCACUGAACCAACUCCCGAGUCUCUAGGACAUUCCUAAAAAAAUUUGAUUUUUUUCCCAUAGGAAUGCAUGGGUUAGGGUUAGGGUUAGGGUUAGGGUUGGAGCUAGGGUUAGGGUUAGGGUUGGAGUUAGGGUUAGUGUUGGAGCUAGGGUUAGGGUUGGGCUUGGAGCUAGGAUUUUUCUGAGUGCAAUGAACCAACUCCCGAGUCUCUAGGACGUUCCUAAAAAAAUUUGAUUUUUUCCCAUAGGAAUGCAUGGGUUAGGGUUAUGGUUAGGGUUAGGGUUGGAGCUAGGGUUAGGGUUAGGGUUAGGGUUGGAGUUAGGGUUAGUGUUGGAGCUAGGGUUAGGGUUGGGCUUGGAGCUAGGAUUUUUCUGAGUGCACUGAACCAACUCCCGAGUCUCUAGGACAUUCCUAAAAAAAUUUGAUUUUUUCCCAUAGGAAUGCAUGGGUUAGGGUUAGGGUUAGGGUUGGAGCUAGGGUUAGGGUUAGGGUUAGGGUUGGAGUUAGGGUUAGUGUUGGAGCUAGGGUUAGGGUUGGGCUUGGAGCUAGGAUUUUUCUGAGUGCACUGAACCAACUCCCGAGUCUCUAGGACAUUCCUAAAAAAAUUUGAUUUUUUCCCAUAGGAAUGCAUGGGUUAGGGUUAGGGUUAGGGUUGGAGCUAGGGUUAGGGUUAGGGUUAGGGUUGGAGUUAGGGUUAGUGUUGGAGCUAGGGUUAGGGUUGGGCUUGGAGCUAGGAUUUUUCUGAGUGCACUGAACCAACUCCCGAGUCUCUAGGACAUUCCUAAAAAAAUUUGAUUUUUUCCCAUAGGAAUGCAUGGGUUAGGGUUAUGGUUAGGGUUAGGGUUGGAGCUAGGGUUAGGGUUAGGGUUAGGGUUGGAGUUAGGGUUAGUGUUGGAGCUAGGGUUAGGGUUGGGCUUGGAGCUAGGAUUUUUCUGAGUGCACUGAACCAACUCCCGAGUCUCUUGGACGUUCCUAAAAAAAAUUUGAUUUUUUCCCAUAGGAAUGCAUGGGUUAGGGUUAGGGUUAGGGUUGGAGCUAGGGUUAGGGUUAGGGUUAGGGUUGGAGUUAGGGUUAGUGUUGGAGCUAGGGUUAGGGUUGGGCUUGGAGCUAGGAUUUUUCUGAGUGCACUGAACCAACUCCCGAGUCUCUAGGACGUUCCUAAAAAAAUUUGAUUUUUUCCCAUAGGAAUGCAUGGUUGGGUUAGGGUUAGGGUUAGGGUUGGAGCUAGGGUUAGGGUUAGGGUUAGGGUUGGAGUUAGGGUUAGUGUUGGAGCUAGGGUUAGGGUUGGGCUUGGAGCUAGGAUUUUUCUGAGUGCACUGAACCAACUCCCGAGUCUCUAGGACAUUCCUAAAAAAAUUUGAUUUUUUCCCAUAGGAAUGCAUGGGUUAGGGUUAGGGUUAGGGUUGGAGCUAGGGUUAGGGUUAGGGUUAGGGUUGGAGUUAGGGUUAGUGUUGGAGCUAGGGUUAGGGUUGGGCUUGGAGCUAGGAUUUUUCUGAGUGCACUGAACCAACUCCCGAGUCUCUAGGACAUUCCUAAAAAAAUUUGAUUUUUUCCCAUAGGAAUGCAUGGGUUAGGGUUAUGGUUAGGGUUAGGGUUGGAGCUAGGGUUAGGGUUAGGGUUAGGGUUGGAGUUAGGGUUAGUGUUGGAGCUAGGGUUAGGGUUGGGCUUGGAGCUAGGAUUUUUCUGAGUGCACUGAACCAACUCCCGAGUCUCUAGGACAUUCCUAAAAAAAUUUGAUUUUUUCCCAUAGGAAUGCAUGGGUUAGGGUUAUGGUUAGGGUUAGGGUUGGAGCUAGGGUUAGGGUUAGGGUUAGGGUUAGGGUUAGGGUUGGAGUUAGGGUUAGUGUUGGAGCUAGGGUUAGGGUUGGGCUUGGAGCUAGGAUUUUUCUGAGUGCACUGAACCAACUCCCGAGUCUCUAGGACAUUCCUAAAAAUUUGAUUUUUUCCCAUAGGAAUGCAUGGGUUAGGGUUAUGGUUAGGGUUAGGGUUGGAGCUAGGGUUAGGGUUAGGGUUAGGGUUGGAGUUAGGGUUAGUGUUGGAGCUAGGGUUAGGGUUGGGCUUGGAGCUAGGACUUUUCUGAGUGCAAUGAACCAACUCCCGAGUCUCUAGGACGUUCCUAAAAAAAUUUGAUUUUUUUCCCAUAGGAAUGCAUGGGUUAGGGUUAGGGUUAGGGUUGGAGCUAGGGUUAGGGUUAGGGUUAGGGUUGGAGUUAGGGUUAGUGUUGGAGCUAGGGUUAGGGUUGGGCUUGGAGCUAGGAUUUUUCUGAGUGCACUGAACCAACUCCCGAGUCUCUAGGACAUUCCUAAAAAAAUUUGAUUUUUUCCCAUAGGAAUGCAUGGGUUAGGGUUAGGGUUAGGGUUGGAGCUAGGGUUAGGGUUAGGGUUAGGGUUGGAGUUAGGGUUAGUGUUGGAGCUAGGGUUAGGGUUGGGCUUGGAGCUAGGAUUUUUCUGAGUGCACUGAACCAACUCCCGAGUCUCUAGGACAUUCCUAAAAAAAUUUGAUUUUUUUCCCAUAGGAAUGCAUGGGUUAGGGUUAUGGUUAGGGUUAGGGUUGGAGCUAGGGUUAGGGUUAGGGUUAGGGUUGGAGUUAGGGUUAGUGUUGGAGCUAGGGUUAGGGUUGGGCUUGGAGCUAGGAUUUUUCUGAGUGCAAUGAACCAACUCCCGAGUCUCUUGGACGUUCCUAAAAAAAUUUGAUUUUUUCCCAUAGGAAUGCAUGGGUUAGGGUUAGGGUUAGGGUUGGAGCUAGGGUUAGGGUUAGGGUUAGGGUUGGAGUUAGGGUUAGUGUUGGAGCUAGGGUUAGGGUUGGGCUUGGAGCUAGGAUUUUUCUGAGUGCACUGAACCAACUCCCGAGUCUCUAGGACGUUCCUAAAAAAAUUUGAUUUUUUCCCAUAGGAAUGCAUGGGUUAGGGUUAGGGUUAGGGUUGGAGCUAGGGUUAGGGUUAGGGUUAGGGUUGGAGUUAGGGUUAGUGUUGGAGCUAGGGUUAGGGUUGGGCUUGGAGCUAGGAUUUUUCUGAGUGCACUGAACCAACUCCCGAGUCUCUAGGACAUUCCUAAAAAAAUUUGAUUUUUUCCCAUAGGAAUGCAUGGGUUAGGGUUAGGGUUAGGGUUGGAGCUAGGGUUAGGGUUAGGGUUAGGGUUGGAGUUAGGGUUAGUGUUGGAGCUAGGGUUAGGGUUGGGCUUGGAGCUAGGAUUUUUCUGAGUGCACUGAACCAACUCCCGAGUCUCUAGGACAUUCCUAAAAAAAUUUGAUUUUUUCCCAUAGGAAUGCAUGGGUUAGUUAUGGUUAGGGUUAGGGUUGGAGCUAGGGUUAGGGUUAGGGUUAGGGUUGGAGUUAGGGUUAGUGUUGGAGCUAGGGUUAGGGUUGGGCUUGGAGCUAGGAUUUUUCUGAGUGCACUGAACCAACUCCCGAGUCUCUAGGACAUUCCUAAAAAAAUUUGAUUUUUUCCCAUAGGAAUGCAUGGGUUAGGGUUAUGGUUAGGGUUAGGGUUGGAGCUAGGGUUAGGGUUAGGGUUAGGGUUGGAGUUAGGGUUAGUGUUGGAGCUAGGGUUAGGGUUGGGCUUGGAGCUAGGAUUUUUCUGAGUGCACUGAACCAACUCCCGAGUCUCUAGGACAUUCCUAAAAAAAUUUGAUUUUUUCCCAUAGGAAUGCAUGGGUUAGGGUUAGGGUUAGGGUUGGAGCUAGGGUUAGGGUUAGGGUUAGGGUUGGAGUUAGGGUUAGUGUUGGAGCUAGGGUUAGGGUUGGGCUUGGAGCUAGGAUUUUUCUGAGUGCAAUGAACCAACUCCCGAGUCUCUAGGACGUUCCUAAAAAAAUUUGAUUUUUUCCCAUAGGAAUGCAUGGGUUAGGGUUAGGGUUAGGGUUGGAGCUAGGGUUAGGGUUAGGGUUAGGGUUGGAGUUAGGGUUAGUGUUGGAGCUAGGGUUAGGGUUGGGCUUGGAGCUAGGAUUUUUCUGAGUGCACUGAACCAACUCCCGAGUCUCUAGGACAUUCCUAAAAAAAUUUGAUUUUUUCCCAUAGGAAUGCAUGGGUUAGGGUUAUGGUUAGGGUUAGGGUUGGAGCUAGGGUUAGGGUUAGGGUUAGGGUUGGAGUUAGGGUUAGUGUUGGAGCUAGGGUUAGGGUUGGGCUUGGAGCUAGGAUUUUUCUGAGUGCACUGAACCAACUCCCGAGUCUCUAGGACAUUCCUAAAAAAAUUUGAUUUUUUCCCAUAGGAAUGCAUGGGUUAGGGUUAUGGUUAGGGUUAGGGUUGGAGCUAGGGUUAGGGUUAGGGUUAGGGUUGGAGUUAGGGUUAGUGUUGGAGCUAGGGUUAGGGUUGGGCUUGGAGCUAGGAUUUUCUGAGUGCACUGAACCAACUCCCGAGUCUCUAGGACAUUCCUAAAAAAAUUUGAUUUUUUCCCAUAGGAAUGCAUGGGUUAGGGUUAUGGUUAGGGUUAGGGUUGGAGCUAGGGUUAGGGUUAGGGUUAGGGUUAGGGUUGGAGUUAGGGUUAGUGUUGGAGCUAGGGUUAGGGUUGGGCUUGGAGCUAGGAUUUUUCUGAGUGCACUGAACCAACUCCCGAGUCUCUAGGACAUUCCUAAAAAAAUUUGAUUUUUUUCCCAUAGGUAUGCAUGGGUUAGGGUUAGGGUUAGGGUUAGGGUUGGAGCUAGGGUUAGGGUUAGGGUUAGGGUUGGAGUUAGGGUUAGUGUUGGAGCUAGGGUUAGGGUUGGGCUUGGAGCUAGGAUUUUUCUGAGUGCAAUGAACCAACUCCCGAGUCUCUAGGACGUUCCUAAAAAAAUUUGAUUUUUUCCCAUAGGAAUGCAUGGGUUAGGGUUAGGGUUAGGGUUGGAGCUAGGGUUAGGGUUAGGGUUAGGGUUGGAGUUAGGGUUAGUGUUGGAGCUAGGGUUAGGGUUGGGCUUGGAGCUAGGAUUUUCUGAGUGCACUGAACCAACUCCCGAGUCUCUAGGACAUUCCUAAAAAAAUUUGAUUUUUUCCCAUAGGAAUGCAUGGGUUAGGGUUAGGGUUAGGGUUGGAGCUAGGGUUAGGGUUAGGGUUAGGGUUGGAGUUAGGGUUAGUGUUGGAGCUAGGGUUAGGGUUGGGCUUGGAGCUAGGAUUUUUCUGAGUGCACUGAACCAACUCCCGAGUCUCUAGGACAUUCCUAAAAAAAUUUGAUUUUUUCCCAUAGGAAUGCAUGGGUUAGGGUUAUGGUUAGGGUUAGGGUUGGAGCUAGGGUUAGGGUUAGGGUUAGGGUUGGAGUUAGGGUUAGUGUUGGAGCUAGGGUUAGGGUUGGGCUUGGAGCUAGGAUUUUUCUGAGUGCACUGAACCAACUCCCGAGUCUCUAGGACAUUCCUAAAAAAAUUUGAUUUUUUCCCAUAGGAAUGCAUGGGUUAGGGUUAUGGUUAGGGUUAGGGUUGGAGCUAGGGUUAGGGUUAGGGUUAGGGUUGGAGUUAGGGUUAGUGUUGGAGCUAGGGUUAGGGUUGGGCUUGGAGCUAGGAUUUUUCUGAGUGCACUGAACCAACUCCCGAGUCUCUAGGACAUUCCUAAAAAAAUUUGAUUUUUUCCCAUAGGAAUGCAUGGGUUAGGGUUAUGGUUAGGGUUAGGGUUGGAGCUAGGGUUAGGGUUAGGGUUAGGGUUGGAGUUAGGGUUAGUGUUGGAGCUAGGGUUAGGGUUGGGCUUGGAGCUAGGAUUUUUCUGAGUGCACUGAACCAACUCCCGAGUCUCUAGGACGUUCCUAAAAAAAAUUUGAUUUUUUCCCAUAGGAAUGCAUGGGUUAGGGUUAGGGUUAGGGUUGGAGCUAGGGUUAGGGUUAGGGUUAGGGUUGGAGUUAGGGUUAGUGUUGGAGCUAGGGUUAGGGUUGGGCUUGGAGCUAGGAUUUUUCUGAGUGCACUGAACCAACUCCCGAGUCUCUAGGACAUUCCUAAAAAAAUUUGAUUUUUUCCCAUAGGAAUGCAUGGGUUAGGGUUAGGGUUAGGGUUGGAGCUAGGGUUAGGGUUAGGGUUAGGGUUGGAGUUAGGGUUAGUGUUGGAGCUAGGGUUAGGGUUGGGCUUGGAGCUAGGAUUUUUCUGAGUGCACUGAACCAACUCCCGAGUCUCUAGGACAUUCCUAAAAAAAUUUGAUUUUUUCCCAUAGGAAUGCAUGGGUUAGGGUUAUGGUUAGGGUUAGGGUUGGAGCUAGGGUUAGGGUUAGGGUUAGGGUUGGAGUUAGGGUUAGUGUUGGAGCUAGGGUUAGGGUUGGGCUUGGAGCUAGGACUUUUCUGAGUGCAAUGAACCAACUCCCGAGUCUCUAGGACGUUCCUAAAAAAAUUUGAUUUUUUCCCAUAGGAAUGCAUGGGUUAGGGUUAGGGUUAGGGUUGGAGCUAGGGUUAGGGUUAGGGUUAGGGUUGGAGUUAGGGUUAGUGUUGGAGCUAGGGUUAGGGUUGGGCUUGGAGCUAGGAUUUUUCUGAGUGCACUGAACCAACUCCCGAGUCUCUAGGACGUUCCUAAAAAAAUUUGAUUUUUUCCCAUAGGAAUGCAUGGGUUAGGGUUAGGGUUAGGGUUGGAGCUAGGGUUAGGGUUAGGGUUAGGGUUGGAGUUAGGGUUAGUGUUGGAGCUAGGGUUAGGGUUGGGCUUGGAGCUAGGAUUUUUCUGAGUGCACUGAACCAACUCCCGAGUCUCUAGGACAUUCCUAAAAAAAUUUGAUUUUUUCCCAUAGGAAUGCAUGGGUUAGGGUUAGGGUUAGGGUUGGAGCUAGGGUUAGGGUUAGGGUUAGGGUUGGAGUUAGGGUUAGUGUUGGAGCUAGGGUUAGGGUUGGGCUUGGAGCUAGGAUUUUUCUGAGUGCACUGAACCAACUCCCGAGUCUCUAGGACAUUCCUAAAAAAAUUUGAUUUUUUCCCAUAGGAAUGCAUGGGUUAGGGUUAUGGUUAGGGUUAGGGUUGGAGCUAGGGUUAGGGUUAGGGUUAGGGUUGGAGUUAGGGUUAGUGUUGGAGCUAGGGUUAGGGUUGGGCUUGGAGCUAGGAUUUUUCUGAGUGCAAUGAACCAACUCCCGAGUCUCUAGGACGUUCCUAAAAAAAUUUGAUUUUUUUCCCAUAGGAAUGCAUGGGUUAGGGUUAGGGUUAGGGUUGGAGCUAGGGUUAGGGUUAGGGUUAGGGUUGGAGUUAGGGUUAGUGUUGGAGCUAGGGUUAGGGUUGGGCUUGGAGCUAGGAUUUUUCUGAGUGCACUGAACCAACUCCCGAGUCUCUAGGACAUUCCUAAAAAAAUUUGAUUUUUUCCCAUAGGAAUGCAUGGGUUAGGGUUAGGGUUAGGGUUGGAGCUAGGGUUAGGGUUAGGGUUAGGGUUGGAGUUAGGGUUAGUGUUGGAGCUAGGGUUAGGGUUGGGCUUGGAGCUAGGAUUUUUCUGAGUGCACUGAACCAACUCCCGAGUCUCUAGGACAUUCCUAAAAAAAUUUGAUUUUUUUCCCAUAGGAAUGCAUGGGUUAGGGUUAGGGUUAGGGUUAGGGUUGGAGCUAGGGUUAGGGUUAGGGUUGGAGUUAGGGUUAGUGUUGGAGCUAGGGUUAGGGUUGGGCUUGGAGCUAGGAUUUUUCUGAGUGCAAUGAACCAACUCCCGAGUCUCUAGGACGUUCCUAAAAAAAUUUGAUUUUUUCCCAUAGGAAUGCAUGGGUUAGGGUUAGGGUUAGGGUUGGAGCUAGGGUUAGGGUUAGGGUUAGGGUUGGAGUUAGGGUUAGUGUUGGAGCUAGGGUUAGGGUUGGGCUUGGAGCUAGGAUUUUUCUGAGUGCACUGAACCAACUCCCGAGUCUCUAGGACGUUCCUAAAAAAAUUUGAUUUUUUCCCAUAGGAAUGCAUGGGUUAGGGUUAGGGUUAGGGUUGGAGCUAGGGUUAGGGUUAGGGUUAGGGUUGGAGUUAGGGUUAGUGUUGGAGCUAGGGUUAGGGUUGGGCUUGGAGCUAGGAUUUUUCUGAGUGCACUGAACCAACUCCCGAGUCUCUAGGACAUUCCUAAAAAAAUUUGAUUUUUUUCCCAUAGGAAUGCAUGGGUUAGGGUUAGGGUUAGGGUUGGAGCUAGGGUUAGGGUUAGGGUUAGGGUUGGAGUUAGGGUUAGUGUUGGAGCUAGGGUUAGGGUUGGGCUUGGAGCUAGGAUUUUUCUGAGUGCACUGAACCAACUCCCGAGUCUCUAGGACAUUCCUAAAAAAAUUUGAUUUUUUCCCAUAGGAAUGCAUGGGUUAGGGUUAUGGUUAGGGUUAGGGUUGGAGCUAGGGUUAGGGUUAGGGUUAGGGUUGGAGUUAGGGUUAGUGUUGGAGCUAGGGUUAGGGUUGGGCUUGGAGCUAGGACUUUUCUGAGUGCAAUGAACCAACUCCCGAGUCUCUAGGACGUUCCUAAAAAAAUUUGAUUUUUUUCCCAUAGGAAUGCAUGGGUUAGGGUUAGGGUUAGGGUUGGAGCUAGGGUUAGGGUUAGGGUUAGGGUUGGAGUUAGGGUUAGUGUUGGAGCUAGGGUUAGGGUUGGGCUUGGAGCUAGGAUUUUUCUGAGUGCAAUGAACCAACUCCCGAGUCUCUAGGACGUUCCUAAAAAAAUUUGAUUUUUUCCCAUAGGAAUGCAUGGGUUAGGGUUAUGGUUAGGGUUGGAGCUAGGGUUAGGGUUAGGGUUAGGGUUGGAGUUAGGGUUAGUGUUGGAGCUAGGGUUAGGGUUGGGCUUGGAGCUAGGAUUUUUCUGAGUGCAAUGAACCAACUCCCGAGUCUCUAGGACGUUCCUAAAAAAAUUUGAUUUUUUCCCAUAGGAAUGCAUGGGUUAGGGUUAGGGUUAGGGUUGGAGCUAGGGUUAGGGUUAGGGUUAGGGUUGGAGUUAGGGUUAGUGUUGGAGCUAGGGUUAGGGUUGGGCUUGGAGCUAGGAUUUUUCUGAGUGCACUGAACCAACUCCCGAGUCUCUAGGACAUUCCUAAAAAAAUUUGAUUUUUUUCCCAUAGGAAUGCAUGGGUUAGGGUUAUGGUUAGGGUUAGGGUUGGAGCUAGGGUUAGGGUUAGGGUUAGGGUUAGGGUUAGGGUUGGAGUUAGGGUUAGUGUUGGAGCUAGGGUUAGGGUUGGGCUUGGAGCUAGGAUUUUUCUGAGUGCACUGAACCAACUCCCGAGUCUCUAGGACAUUCCUAAAAAAAUUUGAUUUUUUUCCCAUAGGAAUGCAUGGGUUAGGGUUAUGGUUAGGGUUAGGGUUGGAGCUAGGUUUAGGGUUAGGGUUAGGGUUGGAGUUAGGGUUAGUGUUGGAGCUAGGGUUAGGGUUGGGCUUGGAGCUAGGAUUUUUCUGAGUGCAAUGAACCAACUCCCGAGUCUCUAGGACGUUCCUAAAAAAAUUUGAUUUUUUUCCCAUAGGAAUGCAUGGGUUAGGGUUAGGGUUAGGGUUGGAGCUAGGGUUAGGGUUAGGGUUAGGGUUGGAGUUAGGGUUAGUGUUGGAGCUAGGGUUAGGGUUGGGCUUGGAGCUAGGAUUUUUCUGAGUGCACUGAACCAACUCCCGAGUCUCUAGGACAUUCCUAAAAAAAUUUGAUUUUUUCCCAUAGGAAUGCAUGGGUUAGGGUUAGGGUUAGGGUUGGAGCUAGGGUUAGGGUUAGGGUUAGGGUUGGAGUUAGGGUUAGUGUUGGAGCUAGGGUUAGGGUUGGGCUUGGAGCUAGGAUUUUUCUGAGUGCACUGAACCAACUCCCGAGUCUCUAGGACAUUCCUAAAAAAAUUUGAUUUUUUUCCCAUAGGAAUGCAUGGGUUAGGGUUAGGGUUAGGGUUGGGGUAGGGUUAGGGUUAGGGUUAGGGUUGGAGUUAGGGUUAGUGUUGGAGCUAGGGUUAGGGUUGGGCUUGGAGCUAGGAUUUUUCUGAGUGCAAUGAACCAACUCCCGAGUCUCUUGGACGUUCCUAAAAAAAUUUGAUUUUUUCCCAUAGGAAUGCAUGGGUUAGGGUUAGGGUUAGGGUUGGAGCUAGGGUUAGGGUUAGGGUUAGGGUUGGAGUUAGGGUUAGUGUUGGAGCUAGGGUUAGGGUUGGGCUUGGAGCUAGGAUUUUUCUGAGUGCACUGAACCAACUCCCGAGUCUCUAGGACGUUCCUAAAAAAAUUUGAUUUUUUCCCAUAGGAAUGCAUGGGUUAGGGUUAGGGUUAGGGUUGGAGCUAGGGUUAGGGUUAGGGUUAGGGUUGGAGUUAGGGUUAGUGUUGGAGCUAGGGUUAGGGUUGGGCUUGGAGCUAGGAUUUUUCUGAGUGCACUGAACCAACUCCCGAGUCUCUAGGACAUUCCUAAAAAAAUUUGAUUUUUUCCCAUAGGAAUGCAUGGGUUAGGGUUAGGGUUAGGGUUGGAGCUAGGGUUAGGGUUAGGGUUAGGGUUGGAGUUAGGGUUAGUGUUGGAGCUAGGGUUAGGGUUGGGCUUGGAGCUAGGAUUUUUCUGAGUGCACUGAACCAACUCCCGAGUCUCUAGGACAUUCCUAAAAAAAUUUGAUUUUUUCCCAUAGGAAUGCAUGGGUUAGGGUUAUGGUUAGGGUUAGGGUUGGAGCUAGGGUUAGGGUUAGGGUUAGGGUUGGAGUUAGGGUUAGUGUUGGAGCUAGGGUUAGGGUUGGGCUUUGAGCUAGGAUUUUUCUGAGUGCAAUGAACCAACUCCCGAGUCUCUUGGACGUUCCUAAAAAAAUUUGAUUUUUUCCCAUAGGAAUGCAUGGGUUAGGGUUAGGGUUAGGGUUGGAGCUAGGGUUAGGGUUAGGGUUAGGGUUGGAGUUAGGGUUAGUGUUGGAGCUAGGGUUAGGGUUGGGCUUUGAGCUAGGAUUUUUCUGAGUGCAAUGAACCAACUCCCGAGUCUCUAGGACAUUCCUAAAAAAAUUUGAUUUUUCCCAUAGGAAUGCAUGGUUUAGGGUUAUGGUUGGAGCUAGGGUUAGGGUUAGGGUUAGGGUUGGAGUUAGGGUUAGUGUUGGAGCUAGGGUUAGGGUUGGGCUUGGAGCUAGGAUUUUUCUGAGUGCACUGAACCAACUCCCGAGUCUCUAGGACAUUCCUAAAAAAAUUUGAUUUUUUCCCAUAGGAAUGCAUGGGUUAGGGUUAUGGUUAGGGUUAGGGUUGGAGCUAGGGUUAGGGUUAGGGUUAGGGUUGGAGUUAGGGUUAGUGUUGGAGCUAGGGUUAGGGUUGGGCUUGGAGCUAGGACUUUUCUGAGUGCAAUGAACCAACUCCCGAGUCUCUAGGACAUUCCUAAAAAAAUUUGAUUUUUUCCCAUAGGAAUGCAUGGGUUAGGGUUAUGGUUAGGGUUAGGGUUGGAGCUAGGGUUAGGGUUAGGGUUAGGGUUGGAGUUAGGGUUAGUGUUGGAGCUAGGGUUAGGGUUGGGCUUGGAGCUAGGAUUUUUCUGAGUGCACUGAACCAACUCCCGAGUCUCUAGGACAUUCCUAAAAAAAUUUGAUUUUUUCCCAUAGGAAUGCAUGGGUUAGGGUUAGGGUUAGGGUUAGGGUUGGAGCUAGGGUUAGGGUUAGGGUUGGAGUUAGGGUUAGUGUUGGAGCUAGGGUUAGGGUUGGGCUUGGAGCUAGGAUUUUUCUGAGUGCAAUGAACCAACUCCCGAGUCUCUUGGACGUUCCUAAAAAAAUUUGAUUUUUUCCCAUAGGAAUGCAUGGGUUAGGGUUAGGGUUAGGGUUGGAGCUAGGGUUAGGGUUAGGGUUAGGGUUGGAGUUAGGGUUAGUGUUGGAGCUAGGGUUAGGGUUGGGCUUGGAGCUAGGAUUUUUCUGAGUGCACUGAACCAACUCCCGAGUCUCUAGGACGUUCCUAAAAAAAUUUGAUUUUUUUCCCAUAGGAAUGCAUGGGUUAGGGUUAGGGUUAGGGUUGGAGGUAGGGUUAGGGUUAGGGUUAGGGUUGGAGUUAGGGUUAGUGUUGGAGCUAGGGUUAGGGUUGGGCUUGGAGCUAGGAUUUUUCUGAGUGCACUGAACCAACUCCCGAGUCUCUAGGACAUUCCUAAAAAAAUUUGAUUUUUUCCCAUAGGAAUGCAUGGGUUAGGGUUAGGGUUAGGGUUGGAGCUAGGGUUAGGGUUAGGGUUAGGGUUGGAGUUAGGGUUAGUGUUGGAGCUAGGGUUAGGGUUGGGCUUGGAGCUAGGAUUUUUCUGAGUGCACUGAACCAACUCCCGAGUCUCUAGGACAUUCCUAAAAAAAUUUGAUUUUUUCCCAUAGGAAUGCAUGGGUUAGGGUUAUGGUUAGGGUUAGGGUUGGAGCUAGGGUUAGGGUUAGGGUUAGGGUUGGAGUUAGGGUUAGUGUUGGAGCUAGGGUUAGGGUUGGGCUUGGAGCUAGGAUUUUUCUGAGUGCACUGAACCAACUCCCGAGUCUCUAGGACAUUCCUAAAAAAAUUUGAUUUUUUCCCAUAGGAAUGCAUGGGUUAGGGUUAUGGUUAGGGUUAGGGUUGGAGCUAGGGUUAGGGUUAGGGUUAGGGUUGGAGUUAGGGUUAGUGUUGGAGCUAGGGUUAGGGUUGGGCUUGGAGCUAGGAUUUUCUGAGUGCAAUGAACCAACUCCCGAGUCUCUAGGACAUUCCUAAAAAAAAUUGAUUUUUUCCCAUAGGAAUGCAUGGGUUAGGGUUAGGGUUAGGGUUGGAGCUAGGGUUAGGGUUAGGGUUAGGGUUGGAGUUAGGGUUAGUGUUGGAGCUAGGGUUAGGGUUGGGCUUGGAGCUAGGAUUUUUCUGAGUGCAAUGAACCAACUCCCGAGUCUCUAGGACGUUCCUAAAAAAUUUGAUUUUUUCCCAUAGGAAUGCAUGGGUUAGGGUUAUGGUUAGGGUUGGAGCUAGGGUUAGGGUUAGGGUUAGGGUUGGAGUUAGGGUUAGUGUUGGAGUUGGGUUAGGGUUGGGCUUGGAGCUAGGAUUUUUCUGAGUGCACUGAACCAACUCCCGAGUCUCUAGGACGUUCCUAAAAAAAUUUGAUUUUUUUCCCAUAGGAAUGCAUGGGUUAGGGUUAGGGUUAGGGUUGGAGCUAGGGUUAGGGUUAGGGUUAGGGUUGGAGUUAGGGUUAGUGUUGGAGCUAGGGUUAGGGUUGGGCUUGGAGCUAGGAUUUUUCUGAGUGCACUGAACCAACUCCCGAGUCUCUAGGACAUUCCUAAAAAAAUUUGAUUUUUUUCCCAUAGGAAUGCAUGGGUUAGGGUUAUGGUUAGGGUUAGGGUUGGAGCUAGGGUUAGGGUUAGGGUUAGGGUUGGAGUUAGGGUUAGUGUUGGAGCUAGGGUUAGGGUUGGGCUUGGAGCUAGGACUUUUCUGAGUGCAAUGAACCAACUCCCGAGUCUCUAGGACAUUCCUAAAAAAAUUUGAUUUUUUCCCAUAGGAAUGCAUGGGUUAGGGUUAUGGUUAGGGUUAGGGUUGGAGCUAGGGUUAGGGUUAGGGUUAGGGUUGGAGUUGGAGUUAGGGUUAGUGUUGGAGCUAGGGUUAGGGUUGGGCUUGGAGCUAGGAUUUUUCUGAGUGCACUGAACCAACUCCCGAGUCUCUAGGACAUUCCUAAAAAAAUUUGAUUUUUUCCCAUAGGAAUGCAUGGGUUAGGGUUAGGGUUAGGGUUGGAGCUAGGGUUAGGGUUAGGGUUAGGGUUGGAGUUAGGGUUAGUGUUGGAGCUAGGGUUAGGGUUGGGCUUGGAGCUAGGAUUUUUCUGAGUGCACUGAACCAACUCCCGAGUCUCUAGGACAUUCCUAAAAAAAUUUGAUUUUUUCCCAUAGGAAUGCAUGGGUUAGGGUUAGGGUUAGGGUUGGAGCUAGGGUUAGGGUUAGGGUUAGGGUUGGAGUUAGGGUUAGUGUUGGAGCUAGGGUUAGGGUUGGGCUUGGAGCUAGGAUUUUUCUGAGUGCACUGAACCAACUCCCGAGUCUCUAGGACAUUCCUAAAAAAAUUUGAUUUUUUUCCCAUAGGAAUGCAUGGGUUAGGGUUAUGGUUAGGGUUAGGGUUGGAGCUAGGGUUAGGGUUAGGGUUAGGGUUGGAGUUAGGGUUAGUGUUGGAGCUAGGGUUAGGGUUGGGCUUGGAGCUAGGAUUUUUCUGAGUGCAAUGAACCAACUCCCGAGUCUCUUGGACGUUCCUAAAAAAAUUUGAUUUUUUCCCAUAGGAAUGCAUGGGUUAGGGUUAGGGUUAGGGUUGGAGCUAGGGUUAGGGUUAGGGUUAGGGUUGGAGUUAGGGUUAGUGUUGGAGCUAGGGUUAGGGUUGGGCUUGGAGCUAGGAUUUUUCUGAGUGCACUGAACCAACUCCCGAGUCUCUAGGACGUUCCCAAAAAAAUUUGAUUUUUUCCCAUAGGAAUGCAUGGGUUAGGGUUAGGGUUAGGGUUGGAGCUAGGGUUAGGGUUAGGGUUAGGGUUGGAGUUAGGGUUAGUGUUGGAGCUAGGGUUAGGGUUGGGCUUGGAGCUAGGAUUUUUCUGAGUGCACUGAACCAACUCCCGAGUCUCUAGGACAUUCCUAAAAAAAUUUGAUUUUUUCCCAUAGGAAUGCAUGGGUUAGGGUUAGGGUUAGGGUUGGAGCUAGGGUUAGGGUUAGGGUUGGAGUUAGGGUUAGUGUUGGAGUUGGGUUAGGGUUGGGCUUGGAGCUAGGAUUUUUCUGAGUGCAAUGAACCAACUCCCGAGUCUCUAGGACGUUCCUAAAAAAAUUUGAUUUUUUCCCAUAGGAAUGCAUGGGUUAGGGUUAGGGUUAGGGUUGGAGCUAGGGUUAGGGUUAGGGUUAGGGUUGGAGUUAGGGUUAGUGUUGGAGCUAGGGUUAGGGUUGGGCUUGGAGCUAGGAUUUUUCUGAGUGCACUGAACCAACUCCCGAGUCUCUAGGACAUUCCUAAAAAAAUUUGAUUUUUUCCCAUAGGAAUGCAUGGGUUAGGGUUAUGGUUAGGGUUAGGGUUGGAGCUAGGGUUAGGGUUAGGGUUAGGGUUGGAGUUAGGGUUAGUGUUGGAGCUAGGGUUAGGGUUGGGCUUGGAGCUAGGACUUUUCUGAGUGCAAUGAACCAACUCCCGAGUCUCUAGGAAAUUCCUAAAAAAAUUUGAUUUUUUCCCAUAGGAAUGCAUGGGUUAGGGUUAUGGUUAGGGUUAGGGUUGGAGCUAGGGUUAGGGUUAGGGUUAGGGUUGGAGUUAGGGUUAGUGUUGGAGCUAGGGUUAGGGUUGGGCUUGGAGCUAGGAUUUUUCUGAGUGCACUGAACCAACUCCCGAGUCUCUAGGACAUUCCUAAAAAAAUUUGAUUUUUUUCCCAUAGGAAUGCAUGGGUUAGGGUUAGGGUUAGGGUUGGAGCUAGGGUUAGGGUUAGGGUUAGGGUUGGAGUUAGGGUUAGUGUUGGAGCUAGGGUUAGGGUUGGGCUUGGAGCUAGGAUUUUUCUGAGUGCACUGAACCAACUCCCGAGUCUCUAGGACAUUCCUAAAAAAAUUUGAUUUUUUCCCAUAGGAAUGCAUGGGUUAGGGUUAGGGUUAGGGUUGGAGCUAGGGUUAGGGUUAGGGUUAGGGUUGGAGUUAGGGUUAGUGUUGGAGCUAGGGUUAGGGUUGGGCUUGGAGCUAGGAUUUUUCUGAGUGCACUGAACCAACUCCCGAGUCUCUAGGACAUUCCUAAAAAAAUUUGAUUUUUUUCCCAUAGGAAUGCAUGGGUUAGGGUUAUGGUUAGGGUUAGGGUUGGAGCUAGGGUUAGGGUUAGGGUUAGGGUUGGAGUUAGGGUUAGUGUUGGAGCUAGGGUUAGGGUUGGGCUUGGAGCUAGGAUUUUUCUGAGUGCAAUGAACCAACUCCCGAGUCUCUUGGACGUUCCUAAAAAAAUUUGAUUUUUUCCCAUAGGAAUGCAUGGGUUAGGGUUAGGGUUAGGGUUGGAGCUAGGGUUAGGGUUAGGGUUAGGGUUGGAGUUAGGGUUAGUGUUGGAGCUAGGGUUAGGGUUGGGCUUGGAGCUAGGAUUUUUCUGAGUGCACUGAACCAACUCCUGAGUCUCUAGGACGUUCCUAAAAAAAUUUGAUUUUUUCCCAUAGGAAUGCAUGGGUUAGGGUUAGGGUUAGGGUUGGAGCUAGGGUUAGGGUUAGGGUUAGGGUUGGAGUUAGGGUUAGUGUUGGAGCUAGGGUUAGGGUUGGGCUUGGAGCUAGGAUUUUUCUGAGUGCACUGAACCAACUCCCGAGUCUCUAGGACAUUCCUAAAAAAAUUUGAUUUUUUCCCAUAGGAAUGCAUGGGUUAGGGUUAGGGUUAGGGUUGGAGCUAGGGUUAGGGUUAGGGUUAGGGUUGGAGUUAGGGUUAGUGUUGGAGCUAGGGUUAGGGUUGGGCUUGGAGCUAGGAUUUUUCUGAGUGCACUGAACCAACUCCCGAGUCUCUAGGACAUUCCUAAAAAAAUUUGAUUUUUUCCCAUAGGAAUGCAUGGGUUAGGGUUAUGGUUAGGGUUAGGGUUGGAGCUAGGGUUAGGGUUAGGGUUAGGGUUGGAGUUAGGGUUAGUGUUGGAGCUAGGGUUAGGGUUGGGCUUGGAGCUAGGACUUUUCUGAGUGCAAUGAACCAACUCCCGAGUCUCUAGGACGUUCCCUAAAAAAAUUUGAUUUUUUCCCAUAGGAAUGCAUGGGUUAUGGUUAGGGUUAGGGUUGGAGCUAGGGUUAGGGUUAGGGUUAGGGUUGGAGUUAGGGUUAGUGUUGGAGCUAGGGUUAGGGUUGGGCUUGGAGCUAGGAUUUUUCUGAGUGCACUGAACCAACUCCCGAGUCUCUAGGACAUUCCUAAAAAAAUUUGAUUUUUUCCCAUAGGAAUGCAUGGGUUAGGGUUAGGGUUAGGGUUGGAGCUAGGGUUAGGGUUAGGGUUAGGGUUGGAGUUAGGGUUAGUGUUGGAGCUAGGGUUAGGGUUGGGCUUGGAGCUAGGAUUUUUCUGAGUGCACUGAACCAACUCCCGAGUCUCUAGGACAUUCCUAAAAAAAUUUGAUUUUUUCCCAUAGGAAUGCAUGGGUUAGGGUUAUGGUUAGGGUUAGGGUUGGAGCUAGGGUUAGGGUUAGGGUUAGGGUUGGAGUUAGGGUUAGUGUUGGAGCUAGGGUUAGGGUUGGGCUUGGAGCUAGGAUUUUUCUGAGUGCAAUGAACCAACUCCCGAGUCUCUAGGACUUUCCUAAAAAAAUUUGAUUUUUUCCCAUAGGAAUGCAUGGGUUAGGGUUAGGGUUAGGGUUGGAGCUAGGGUUAGGGUUAGGGUUAGGGUUGGAGUUAGGGUUAGUGUUGGAGCUAGGGUUAGGGUUGGGCUUGGAGCUAGGAUUUUUCUGAGUGCACUGAACCAACUCCCGAGUCUCUAGGACAUUCCUAAAAAAAUUUGAUUUUUUCCCAUAGGAAUGCAUGGGUUAGGGUUAGGGUUAGGGUUGGAGCUAGGGUUAGGGUUAGGGUUAGGGUUGGAGUUAGGGUUAGUGUUGGAGCUAGGGUUAGGGUUGGGCUUGGAGCUAGGAUUUUUCUGAGUGCACUGAACCAACUCCCGAGUCUCUAGGACAUUCCUAAAAAAAUUUGAUUUUUUCCCAUAGGAAUGCAUGGGUUAUGGUUAGGGUUAGGGUUGGAGCUAGGGUUAGGGUUAGGGUUAGGGUUGGAGUUAGGGUUAGUGUUGGAGCUAGGGUUAGGGUUGGGCUUGGAGCUAGGAUUUUUCUGAGUGCACUGAACCAACUCCCGAGUCUCUAGGACAUUCCUAAAAAAAUUUGAUUUUUUCCCAUAGGAAUGCAUGGGUUAGGGUUAUGGUUAGGGUUAGGGUUGGAGCUAGGGUUAGGGUUAGGGUUAGGGUUGGAGUUAGGGUUAGUGUUGGAGCUAGGGUUAGGGUUGGGCUUGGAGCUAGGAUUUUUCUGAGUGCAAUGAACCAACUCCCGAGUCUCUAGGACGUUCCUAAAAAAAUUUGAUUUUUUCCCAUAGGAAUGCAUGGUUUAGGGUUAUGGUUAGGGGCUAGGGUUAGGGUUAGGGUUAGGGUUAGGGUUGGAGUUAGGGUUAGUGUUGGAGCUAGGGUUAGGGUUGGGCUUGGAGCUAGGAUUUUUCUGAGUGCACUGAACCAACUCCCGAGUCUCUAGGACGUUCCUAAAAAAAUUUGAUUUUUUCCCAUAGGAAUGCAUGGGUUAGGGUUAUGGUUAGGGUUGGAGCUAGGGUUAGGGUUAGGGUUAGGGUUGGAGUUAGGGUUAGUGUUGGAGCUAGGGUUAGGGUUGGGCUUGGAGCUAGGAUUUUUCUGAGUGCAAUGAACCAACUCCCGAGUCUCUAGGACGUUCCUAAAAAAAUUUGAUUUUUUCCCAUAGGAAUGCAUGGGUUAGGGUUAGGGUUAGGGUUGGAGCUAGGGUUAGGGUUAGGGUUAGGGUUGGAGUUAGGGUUAGUGUUGGAGCUAGGGUUAGGGUUGGGCUUGGAGCUAGGACUUUUCUGAGUGCACUGAACCAACUCCCGAGUCUCUAGGACGUUCCCUAAAAAAAUUUGAUUUUUUCCCAUAGGAAUGCAUGGGUUAGGGUUAGGGUUAGGGUUGGAGCUAGGGUUAGGGUUAGGGUUAGGGUUGGAGUUAGGGUUAGUGUUGGAGCUAGGGUUAGGGUUGGGCUUGGAGCUAGGAUUUUUCUGAGUGCACUGAACCAACUCCCGAGUCUCUAGGACAUUCCUAAAAAAAUUUGAUUUUUUCCCAUAGGAAUGCAUGGGUUAGGGUUAGGGUUAGGGUUGGAGCUAGGGUUAGGGUUAGGGUUAGGGUUGGAGUUAGGGUUAGUGUUGGAGCUAGGGUUAGGGUUGGGCUUGGAGCUAGGAUUUUUCUGAGUGCACUGAACCAACUCCCGAGUCUCUAGGACAUUCCUAAAAAAAUUUGAUUUUUUCCCAUAGGAAUGCAUGGGUUAGGGUUAGGGUUAGGGUUAGGGUUGGAGCUAGGGUUAGGGUUAGGGUUGGAGUUAGGGUUAGUGUUGGAGCUAGGGUUAGGGUUGGGCUUGGAGCUAGGAAUUUUCUGAGUGCAAUGAACCAACUCCCGAGUCUCUAGGACGUUCCUAAAAAAAUUUGAUUUUUUUCCCAUAGGAAUGCAUGGGUUAGGGUUAGGGUUAGGGUUGGAGCUAGGGUUAGGGUUAGGGUUAGGGUUGGAGUUAGGGUUAGUGUUGGAGCUAGGGUUAGGGUUGGGCUUGGAGCUAGGAUUUUUCUGAGUGCACUGAACCAACUCCCGAGUCUCUAGGACGUUCCUAAAAAAAUUUGAUUUUUUCCCAUAGGAAUGCAUGGGUUAGGGUUAGGGUUAGGGUUGGAGGUAGGGUUAGGGUUAGGGUUAGGGUUGGAGUUAGGGUUAGUGUUGGAGCUAGGGUUAGGGUUGGGCUUGGAGCUAGGAUUUUUCUGAGUGCACUGAACCAACUCCCGAGUCUCUAGGACAUUCCUAAAAAAAUUUGAUUUUUUUCCCAUAGGAAUGCAUGGGUUAGGGUUAUGGUUAGGGUUAGGGUUGGAGCUAGGGUUAGGGUUAGGGUUAGGGUUGGAGUUAGGGUUAGUGUUGGAGCUAGGGUUAGGGUUGGGCUUGGAGCUAGGACUUUUCUGAGUGCAAUGAACCAACUCCCGAGUCUCUUGGACGUUCCCUAAAAAAAUUUGAUUUUUUCCCAUAGGAAUGCAUGGGUUAGGGUUAGGGUUAGGGUUGGAGCUAGGGUUAGGGUUAGGGUUAGGGUUGGAGUUAGGGUUAGUGUUGGAGCUAGGGUUAGGGUUGGGCUUGGAGCUAGGAUUUUUCUGAGUGCACUGAACCAACUCCCGAGUCUCUAGGACAUUCCUAAAAAAAUUUGAUUUUUUCCCAUAGGAAUGCAUGGGUUAGGGUUAGGGUUAGGGUUGGAGCUAGGGUUAGGGUUAGGGUUAGGGUUGGAGUUAGGGUUAGUGUUGGAGCUAGGGUUAGGGUUGGGCUUGGAGCUAGGAUUUUUCUGAGUGCACUGAACCAACUCCCGAGUCUCUAGGACAUUCCUAAAAAAAUUUGAUUUUUUUCCCAUAGGAAUGCAUGGGUUAGGGUUAUGGUUAGGGUUAGGGUUGGAGCUAGGGUUAGGGUUAGGGUUAGGGUUGGAGUUAGGGUUAGUGUUGGAGCUAGGGUUAGGGUUGGGCUUGGAGCUAGGAUUUUUCUGAGUGCAAUGAACCAACUCCCGAGUCUCUAGGACUUUCCUAAAAAAAUUUGAUUUUUUCCCAUAGGAAUGCAUGGGUUAGGGUUAGGGUUAGGGUUGGAGCUAGGGUUAGGGUUAGGGUUAGGGUUGGAGUUAGGGUUAGUGUUGGAGCUAGGGUUAGGGUUGGGCUUGGAGCUAGGAUUUUUCUGAGUGCACUGAACCAACUCCCGAGUCUCUAGGACAUUCCUAAAAAAAUUUGAUUUUUUCCCAUAGGAAUGCAUGGGUUAGGGUUAGGGUUAGGGUUGGAGCUAGGGUUAGGGUUAGGGUUAGGGUUGGAGUUAGGGUUAGUGUUGGAGCUAGGGUUAGGGUUGGGCUUGGAGCUAGGAUUUUUCUGAGUGCACUGAACCAACUCCCGAGUCUCUAGGACAUUCCUAAAAAAAUUUGAUUUUUUCCCAUAGGAAUGCAUGGGUUAGGGUUAGGGUUAGGGUUGGAGCUAGGGUUAGGGUUAGGGUUAGGGUUGGAGUUAGGGUUAGUGUUGGAGCUAGGGUUAGGGUUGGGCUUGGAGCUAGGAUUUUUCUGAGUGCACUGAACCAACUCCCGAGUCUCUAGGACAUUCCUAAAAAAAUUUGAUUUUUUCCCAUAGGAAUGCAUGGGUUAGGGUUAGGGUUAGGGUUAGGGUUGGAGCUAGGGUUAGGGUUAGGGUUAGGGUUGGAGUUAGGGUUAGUGUUGGAGCUAGGGUUAGGGUUGGGCUUGGAGCUAGGAUUUUUCUGAGUGCACUGAACCAACUCCCAGAGUCUCUAGGACAUUCCUAAAAAAAUUUGAUUUUUUUCCCAUAGGAAUGCAUGGGUUAGGGUUAUGGUUAGGGUUGGAGCUAGGGUUAGGGUUAGGGUUAGGGUUGGAGUUAGGGUUAGUGUUGGAGCUAGGGUUAGGGUUGGGCUUGGAGCUAGGAUUUUUCUGAGUGCAAUGAACCAACUCCCGAGUCUCUAGGACGUUCCUAAAAAAAUUUGAUUUUUUCCCAUAGGAAUGCAUGGGUUAGGGUUAGGGUUAGGGUUGGAGCUAGGGUUAGGGUUAGGGUUAGGGUUGGAGUUAGGGUUAGUGUUGGAGCUAGGGUUAGGGUUGGGCUUGGAGCUAGGACUUUUCUGAGUGCAAUGAACCAACUCCCGAGUCUCUAGGACGUUCCCUAAAAAAAUUUGAUUUUUUCCCAUAGGAAUGCAUGGGUUAGGGUUAGGGUUAGGGUUGGAGCUAGGGUUAGGGUUAGGGUUAGGGUUGGAGUUAGGGUUAGUGUUGGAGCUAGGGUUAGGGUUGGGCUUGGAGCUAGGAUUUUUCUGAGUGCACUGAACCAACUCCCGAGUCUCUAGGACAUUCCUAAAAAAAUUUGAUUUUUUCCCAUAGGAAUGCAUGGGUUAGGGUUAGGGUUAGGGUUGGAGCUAGGGUUAGGGUUAGGGUUAGGGUUGGAGUUAGGGUUAGUGUUGGAGCUAGGGUUAGGGUUGGGCUUGGAGCUAGCAUUUUUCUGAGUGCACUGAACCAACUCCCGAGUCUCUAGGACAUUCCUAAA
RNAcentral lists this long non-coding RNA (49122 nucleotides) under Xyrichtys novacula (pearly razorfish). The record is from RNAcentral. Lineage: Eukaryota; Metazoa; Chordata; Actinopteri; Labriformes; Labridae.